UGAUAAGAUAAUUUGUAACGGGUAACAAGCAAUGAAAGUAAAUAAGGUGCAGCAAGGUGGCCCAAUCCUUUUUGUAGCAAAGGACAAUCCUGGAGAAUUUCUUAUAAUGAGAAAAGCGCUCCCGAGGACACAUGGGAAUUAUCGUCAAGCCAGUUUCAUCACGCUCGUAUGAUUCGUGUUUGUUACUUUGAUAAUUUGAUAUGUGGGUGGACCGGUGCUUGGGUACUGCCCUUUCUUCAACAAGCAUCCCACUUAUGAUUAACCCCUAUUGCAAGCAUCCGUAACUACAAAAGAAGUAUUAAGGUAAACCUAACCAUAGCAUGAAACUAGUGGAUCCAAAUCAGACCCUUACGGAGCAACUUAUAAACUAGGGUUUAAGCUUAUGUCACUCUAGCAACCCAUCAUCUACUUAUUACUUCCCAAUGCCUUCCUCUAGUCCCAAAUAAUGGUGAAGUGUCAUGUAGUCGAUGUUCACAUAACACCACUAGAGGAGAGACAACAUACAUCUCAUCAAAAUAUCGAACGAAUACCAAAUUCACAUGACUACUAAUAGCAAGACUUCACCCAUGUCCUCAGGAACAAACGUAACUACUCACAAAGCAUAUUCAUGUUCAAAAUCAGAGGGGUAUUAAUAUGCACUAAGGAUCUGAACAUAUGAUCUUCCACCAAGUAAACCAAUUAACAUCAACUACAAGGAGUAAUCAACACUACUAGCAACCCAUAGGUACCAAUUUGUGGUUUUGGAUACAAGAUUGGAUACAAGAGAUGAACUAGGGUUUGAGAGGAGAUGGUGCUGGUGAAGUUGAUGGAGAUUGACCCCCUCCCGAUGAGAGGGUCGUUGGUGAUGACGAUGGUGAUGAUUUCCUUCUCUCAUAGGGAAGUUUCCCCGGCAGAACAGCUCCGCCGGAGCCCUAGAUUGGUUCCGCCUAGGUUCCGCCUCAUGGCGGCGGAGUUUCGUCUCGUAAGCUUGCUUAUGAUUUCUUUCCAGGGUAAAAGACCUACUAUAGCAGAAGAUGGGCACCGGAGGGCCACCAGGGGGCCCACAAGACAGGGGGGCGUGCCCAGUAGGGGUGGGCGCGCCCCCACCCUCGUGGCCAGGGUGUGGGCCCCCUCUGGUACUUUCUUUGCUCAAUCAUUCUUAUUAAAUCCAAAAAUGACUUUCAUGGAGUUGCGGGACUUUUGGAGCUGUGCAGAAUAGGUUUCCAAUUUUACUCCUUUUCCAGCGAGAAUCCCAGCUGCCAGCAUUCUCCCUUUUCAUGAUAAACCUUGUAAAAUAAGAGAGAAUAGCCAUAAGUAUUGUGACAUAACGUGUAAUAACAGCCCAUAAUGCAAUAAAUAUCGGUAUAAAAGCAUGAUGCAAAACGGACGUAUCAGCUUGUUAAGGUCCUUGCCUUCGGGUGGACUCUGCGCUACAAUAUCGGUGGACGUCAUCUUCGCCUAGUAUAUUUUGACACGGGCCAGGGCCAUCCGUGCACCUUCUAUGCACGUUGACCACUUCAUAGCAUCGAUAUGCGGCACCGCAUCAACAAGUCGCCACACCAAACAGAAAUAAUUACUCAGAAUUGUCUCAAUCGGCUAAAGCCGGGCUAUGGUGUCCUUCAUGGCAGUUCCGGACAUCCUAUGGAGCUUGGCCCAUUGUGCCAUCUAUUCGUUCAACAGUGGACACUUUGGAUGUCAAAUUGCAACCAAAAUAGCUUUUCCGUCGCAUGUCCUUCUUGCGCAUGAAAAAACCAGUUCGCAUCGGUAGCACUCUUCAGCAGGUCCAAAUAGGCGUCUGGGGAACUCCAUAGUUGAUUAAGCGGAGCAUACUUCGGAUCGCCAAACUUAGUUUGCAAUAAAUAGGGCUUACCAGCCGCGAUCUCCCCAGCCUGUCGGAUCUCCUCCCGAGCUGCCCUGGACUCAGACCGAGCUUCCUUUGCCUCUUGUACGGCCUUUUCAAGAUCAGCCGCUUUGGCUUUGUUAUCUUUCUCAAGAACUUGGUAUCAACCAAUGGCAUCCUCCAGCUCCAGUGCCAUAGUAGAUAUUCUCUCCUCGCACUGACGCCGAGCAAUCUGCUCGGCCUUCAAAUCAGCAGCCGCCUUUUAGGCAGCCGCAUUACCCAUCCUGGCUUGCUCCUUGGCCCGGGCUAGCUCAGCCUGAAGGGUCUCAAUGGCGGUGGCACCAUCUGCAGUUAACCAUAUUGCAAGUCUCAGCGUCACGCUCAUAUUUCUAAUACUUGUAUAUACUGUCGUCCCCGAAUACAUUCCUUGUGCCUCGUCGAGUCACCUAUUAAUAAGCGUGAUGUCAUCAUCCGCUACAUCAACUUUCUGCUUCAGAUGUACUACCUCUGUAGCUUGGGCAGUUGCCACGGAUGUAACAGCCUGUGUUUCAAAUUAGUCCGAUCAUUUCCUGGGCAUACAUUUUUUAUCCUCUGAUCGCCUCCCUUUGGAUGUCAAUCAGAGUCUCAAGGGCUACUAUCUAUAUACAGGUGCAAUUUGCAUUUAUAACAUAAAAACAAUUACAUUACGUACCUCAAAACCUCUUAGCGGGCUCGUAAAGGCUUCAUUCAAUCCACUUUUCGUAGACCGAACUCUUUCAACCACCGUACCCAUCAAGGUGCGGUGCUCCUCUGAGACGGACGCAUGUUGCAAUAUGUCCAUCAAUGUAUCCGGCGCCUCCGGAUGCUGGACAGGUUGUGCAAUUUCUCGGACAUUGGAUAGUCCAGGACUUUUGUUGUUGGUUCCAGUAGGGGCUGCACACCUUGGACCUUGGGCGGCCGAAGUGUUACCUUCAGGCUCGACCCUCGCUGCCUCUCGCGCCACUCGUUGAUCGGGAAAGGUCCUCUAGGAUGACACCUCGUCGUCAUCUGCCUUAUCACACAGGGAGAUCUGUGGAGGCAUCUCGCUCUCCAUCAUCUCCAGAAGGAGACCCCCGAAGAGGAGGACUGCUGAGGAGAAUUGUGUAUCGGACUGUAAAACAUAUAUUGUAAACAUUGCUCCUACAACCAAUAAAGAACAGGGUAUGUUUAAAACACCCUGGUUCACUUACGAUUCGGCUAAAGGCCUAUCUCUGUGAAGUGAUUGCGUGUCAGCGUCACCCCCUGACUGGGAUUUCUUCCCCCGCUUAGAAGUUCUUUCUUCAAGUCUUCGGAGGCGUCUCGCUUCCUCCCAUGAGGAGAAGGGAUGUCAGUUUCUCCUUCCCUUCCGCCUUUGAAAGAGGAAGUCCCAAUUUCCCCAGAUAAAUGGCUUGGUGUGCCUCGAGAGGAGAGACUACCUUGGGCCUCCUUGUUGUUCUCCUCGUCUUCCCUCACCAGCGCUUGAUAGGGUGCCGGAGCCAGCAUCCUAGUUAACACUGGAUCCGCUGAGUCUUCAGGAAGAGGAGCUGAACACCUAAUUCUCUCCGCCUUCUUUAGCCAGCCCUGGCCGAGUAGAGUUUUAUCAGUACCUUGUUAUAAGGAAUUUAAUGAAACUGUGUUCAGAAAUUAAGUACUUAUCGGGGAAUCUGGAUGAUUGCAGUCAAGACCAAUGUCUUCUGUAGUAUCCGGCCACUUUUUUGUGUGCCGGAGAACAAUUUCCACAUCUCUUUGAGCAUUAUACCAGAAAAAUAUUGAAGAGUCUGUGGACCUUCCGGAUUGAACUCCCACAUGCGGAGACGGCGUCACUGGCAGGGUAGGAUCCAGUGGACUAGCAUUAUUUGGAUUACAUUGAUAAGACCGGUGUACUUCUCAAUGAGGCUCCAAAUGCGGCUUUGUAGCAUCCGCACUUCAUCAAUAGAUCCCCAGUCCAGCCCCUUGUUCACCCACGAUGCUAGUUGUGGUGGAGGGACAUAUGGAAAUGCGGGUGUAGCCGCCCACUUACCGCGGGAUUCAGUGAUGUAAAACCACUCCCGUUGCCAUAGGUCAGUAGAGUCUGCGAAGGAGCCCUUUGGCCAAGGAGAAUCGAUGAGCUUGUUUAUUAAAGCACCUCCGCACUCCGCUUGUUUCCCGUGUACUACCUUUGGUUUCACGCUAAAGGUUUUAAGCCAUAAGCCAAAGUGUGGGGUAAUGCGGAGGAAGGCCUCACACGUGAUGAUAAACACCGAGAUGUGAAGGAAAGAAUCUGGAGCUAGAUCAUGGAAAUCUAAUCCGCAAUCAAACAUGAGCCCUCGAACGAAGGGAUGAAGAGCAAAACCUAGCCCUUGGAGGAAGUGAGAGAUAAACACAACCCUCUCAUUGGAUCUAGGAGUAGGGAUAACCUGCCCUUGAGCAGGAAGCCUGUGAACGAUUUCUGCGGUCAAAUACCUUGCCUCCCUGAGCUUCGUGAUGUCCUCCUCUGUGACAGAAGAGGCCGUCCAUCGGCCGUGGAGGCUAGAUCCGGACAUGGCCGGAGGUCCGAAGCGACUGGGUUAAACUUUGGGUGUUGGAACUUGAGGUGGGAGGAAGAGAGGAUUAGCGGGGAAAGAAAAAGACAGGUCUUGGCCUCCUUAUAAAGACGACAAAUAUCAAACGUCCCCUACAUGGCCUUAAAACAUGCCUAUUCCCAAGGAAUCAUACCAACAGAACGGCUGAGUUACCCAAGCCCGUGUUGAUGAGAAUCCCGUGAUAAGGGGACACGAUCUCUGCUUCGACAAGACGUGCCAAUAGAACCGCCUCGCGAAGCGUGGAGUAGCAGGCUGGAUAAAUGAUUCGAAAUAAUGGUCGGACGAUGACGUAAUGUCGCGUCGCAAAGAACUCCAAGCGGAUUGGAUUCAUGAAAAUAUUAUACUCUCUACGGUUGUGUGUGGUAUUUUUUUGCAAAGCCGGACAUGAUUCUUGUGUUCAAGAUCUACUUUGAAGUAUUUGGAGAAGGAACCCGCCUUGCAAUGUCGAAGACAAUCUGCGCACCGGACUCAUCAUCAUUGAAGCCUGGUUUAGGGGCUACUGAGGGAGUCCUGGAUUAAGGGGUCCUCGGACAGCCGGACUAUAUGCAUGGGCCGGACUGUGGGGCUAUGAAGAUACAAGAUAGAAGACUUCGUCCCGUGUCUGGAUGGGACUCUCCUUUGCGUGGAAGGCAAGCUUGGCGAUUCGGAUAUGUAGAUUCCUUUCUCUGUAACCGACUUUGUGUAACCCUGGCCCCCUCCAGUGUCUAUAUAAACUGGAGGGUUUAGUCCGUAGGACGAGAACAAUCAUAAGCAUAGGCUAGCUUCUAGGGUUUAGCCAUUACGAUCUCGUGGUAGAUCAACUCUUGAAAUACUCAUAUUCAUCAAGAUCAAUCAAGCAGGAAGUAGGGUAUUACCUCCGUAGAGAGGGCCCGAACCUGGGUAAACAUUGUGUCCCCCGCCUCCUGUUACCAUUAGCCUUAGAUGCACAGUUUGGGACCCCCUACCCAAGAUUUGAUGGUUUUGACACCGACAGCGGCCCCCUUUCCUUCAUCUCUUCCACCUCUUUCCCCUUCCCCCCUUCUCCGAAAAGGAAGGGGGAAUCCUACUAGGACUGGGAGUCCUAGUAGGACUUCCCCCUUGGUGCGCCCCUAUAGGCCGACCGCCUCCUCCCCCUCCUUUAUAUAUGGAGGUAGGGGGCACCCCAAAGUACAACAGUUAUUCUUAGCCAUGUGUGGUGCCCCCUGAGGGAGUCCUGGAUAAGGGGGUAUCCGGACAGCCAGACUAUAUACAUCGUCCGGACUAUAGAGGCGUCAAGAUACAAGACUCAAGACUUCAGCUCGUGUCCGGAUGGAACUCUCCUUUGCGUGGAAGUCAAGCUUGGCGAUCCGGAUAUUAUGUUUCCUUCCUUGUAAACCGACUCCAUGUAAACCCUAGCUCUCCGGUGUCUACAUAAACCGGAGAGCAUGGUCCUUAGAAGGCCGAUCACAAUUACAAUCAUACCAUCAUAGGCUAGCUCUUAGGGUUUAGCUUGGCCAGUUGGACCAGAUCGACAGCUUCGCCCCUGGCCACCAGAUCAGGUUCGGAAACUUGAACUACACGGCAGAUGUCUGCGGAGACUUGAUCUUCGACGGAUUUGAGCCUGCGCCGGGAGCGCCGGACAGCCACGACGAGCAUGUCCUAGACCUGCUAUCGGACAAUGCCCGGGACAUCAUCCCCAAGGCAGCCCCGGAUCUAAAUCUAGGGCAGGUUGCGUUGCCUACGGACGGAGGGCUAGACCCCGCCCCGCAGGCCGCACACUUAUCAUCCGUGGAGCCGAACACGGGUCUCACCUCUCUGGAGGCCUGUAACCCUGGGGCCCCGGACUCAUAUCCGGUUGUUGGUCCUGGUCCGCUAACUCUCGAGCCAGCCGAGCCAGGCUGGGCUCCGGUAAUGGAGUUUACCGCUGCGGACAUCUUUCAGCACUCGCAUUUUGGCGACAUGCUGAACUCAUUAAAGUCUCUCUCUCUGUCAGGAGGCUCUGAGCCGAACUAUGUCCGGCUUGAGUGGGAAGUAGGCGACGAAGGAAUUCGCUACCCACCCACCACCCACUUUGUCGCCACGAUCGAUGAUUUAACCGACGUGCUCGACUUUGACUUUGAAUACAUCAGCGGUAUGGACGACGAUGCAGGAGACAUACAGGAGCCACCGCUCACAUGGCGGUGGAUAGCCACCUCUUCAUAUGAUAUAUAUAUGGUGGACACUCCAAAAGAAACCAACAGCGAUGAGGCAACGGAGGAUAACCCCUCCAAGAAGAAAGCAAAGCAUGGGCGUCGCCAGCGCCGCUCCAAGCCCCGCCAAGGCAAUACCGGCGCCGUAGAUGAUAAUAAUCCGGACGGUGCCGACGAUGAAUACAACCCCGAACAGUCCGCCUUCGAGCAGGCCGAACAGGAAGACAAGCAUAACAGCCCAGAUGAACAGGUGAUCGACGGGUAUCCGGAGGACGACAACUACAUGCCCCUCUCUGAAGAUGAGAUUAGCCUCGGCGACGACGAGUUCGGCGUACCCGGAGACCCCGCAGAGCAGGAGUGCUUCAAGCGCCGGCUUAUUGCCACUACGAGAAGCCUGAAGAAGAAGCAGCAACAGCUCCAAGCUGAUCAAGAUCUGCUCACACACAGAUGGAGAGAAGUCCUGGCAGCCGAGGAAUACGGACUCGAGCGCCCCACGGCUGACCGACCACCUCGAGGUCAGGACAAAAUGGCAUAUCAGCCGAAAUACCAGCCCGUACCCCCGCGCCGGUUUGCUACGGCCCGGGGCAAUACUCAGGACCUGCGCGAUAAACUGGAUAACACCGCAGGACAACCAAGAUCGAUCUACGGAUCACGGGGGCGCGCCGAAGCACAUGACGAUGACCGUCAUAUCGGAUACACUAACCGCAAAUCCGGCCAGGCCGAAUACAACCAGUCAAACGUAGCAGGACUAUGCCGUGACAUAGCUGGACAUAGAGGCACCGCACACCCCCUAUGCUUCACUAAUGAAGUGAUGGAUCACGAAUUCCCAGAAGGGUUUAAACCCGUAAACAUCAAAUCAUACGAUGGCACCACAGACCCCGCGGUAUGAAUCGAGGAUUUCCUUCUCCACAUUCACAUGGCCCGCGGAGAUGAUCUACAUGCCAUCGAGUAUCUUCCCCUUAAGCUAAAAGGACCUGCCCAGCACUGGCUAAACAGCCUGCCCGCAGAUUCCAUUGGCAGUUGGGAAAACCUGGAAGACGCAUUCCUUGACAACUUCCAAGGCACAUAUGUGCGACCUCCGGAUGCCGAUGACUUGAGCCACAUAACUCAACAGCCCAGAGAAUCAGCCAGGAAAUUCUGGACUCGGUUCCUAACUAAAAAGAACCAAAUAGUCGACUGUCCGGACGCCGAAGCCCUAGCGGCUUUCAAGCAUAAUAUCCGUGACGAGUGACUCACCAGACACCUCGGCCAGGAGAAACCCAAGUCCAUGGCAGCUCUUACGACACUAAUGACCCGCUUUUGCGCGGGCAAGGACAGCUUGUUUGCUCGCAGUAGCACUACGCCACAUUCUAGAACUUCAGAUGUCUGGGACAAUAAUGGCAAGCCACGGCGCAACAGACACAAGCGACGGAACAACGGUGACAGCACCGAGGAUACGGCGGUCAAUGUUGGAUUCAGUGGAUCGAAAUCCGGUCAGUGGAAGAAGCCAUUCAAGCGUAACAAUCAAGGAUCGUCCAGUCUGGACCGUAUACUGGAGCGCUCGUGCCAAAUUCAUGGCACCUCGGACAAGCCAGCCAACCACACCAACAGAGACUGUUGGGUCUUUAAACAGGCCGGCAAAAUAAACGUAGAAAACAAGGACAAGGGGCUACACAGCGACGAUGACGAUGAGCCUCGGCGUCCGAACAUGGGGGGCCAGAAGAAAUCCCCCCCCCCCGAGGUGAAAACGGUCAACAUGAUCUACGCCACCCACAUCCCCAAGCGGGAACGGAAGCGAGCACUACGGGACGUAUAUGCGAUGGAGCCAGUCAUCCCCAAAUUCAACCCAUGGUCAUCUUGUCCGAUCACCUUUGAUCAUAGGGAUCAUCCUACUAGCAUCCAUCACGGUGGCUCAGCCGCAUUGGUUUUAUACCCAAUUAUAGACGGAUUUCACCUCACAAGAGUCCUUAUGGACGGAGGCAGCAGCCUGAACUUGCUUUAUCAGGACACAGUGCAGAAGAUGGGCAUCGGUCCUUCAAGGAUCAAGCCCACCAAAACCACCUUUAAAGGUGUCAUUCCUGGAGUAGAGGCCCGUUGCACGGGCUCUAUAACAUUGGAAGUGGUCUUCGGAUCCCCGGAUAUUUUCCGAUGCGAAGAGCUAAUCUUCGAUAUCGUCCCUUUCUGAAGUGGCUACCACGCCCUGCUCGGACGAACCGCAUUUGCUAGAUUCAAUGCAGUACCACACUAUGCAUACCUCAAGCUCAAGAUGCUAGGCCUGCGAGGGGUCAUAACACUCAACGGGAGUAUGGACCGCUCUCUCCGUACAGAAGAACAUACUGCGGCCCUUGCGGCAGAAGUACAAUGCGGCCUCCUCUGGCAAACCACCAAUCCGGCGAUGACAUUUUCAAGCUCCGUCAAGCGAGGAUGGAACACCCCGCAGCAAGAUUUGCAGGCACGACAAGAGCAGGACUAGCAGUCCGGCCUCCGCUCAAAUCCCAUCAAAGCAGCAUUCGUGCCACGCGUACACAAUUACACACUCAAAACACCAUGGGCACAGGCGGAGUCGUAUCAGGGGCUCAGUCAAUAGUACGGUAUCACUUCAUAAACUUUCCAUUCACCUUUAAGGACAUUGCUUUAGUGCAGCUUCUCUAGAAUAGCCGAAUUGUCGGACUUACAUAGGAGAGGAAACCCAAGAGGCAACAGGCUUUGGGCACAGCAGGAAACACCCAGGUGGAAUCUAUUUACGAUCAUCAUUCCUGCUUUAUCUAUCUGUACGUAGCCUGCCCCUAGAUAGGAUAUGUCAAAUCAUCCUAUUUUGUCUCCGCUUAAUGCAUACAUUGUAAACAUAUGCUUAAACGUACUAUUUAUCAAUGGGAGACCACACGUAGCGUCAGCUUACUUAUUUUUAUUUGAGCAUUUUUUAUAAAUUUCUAUUUCAUUUUGCAUCCGUACACUUUGGUACGUGUAGUUUGCCAGGGGCUUCUUAUGGUACCCCAUAAUACGGCAAGUCAAGUCCAAACACUUUCAACAGUGCGGCACCCCGAACUUAUAGCAUUAUAUGCAUCAGCUCUGAAUCAUGUCUUGGGUUAUGGUUGGUAUAGCCCGGCUCCCUUGCUUUGGUGCCUUACGUUCCGUUAAUUCGGCUAAGGUACCGCAGGGAGAACUACUGCGGUUGUGCCCUGGUUCUGCCGGACGAGCACCUCAGUAGAGAAAGCACAAAACUGUCCGACAUGAUGUGGUGAGAGACUGGUCGCUAUUCGAGAGGUCUUAAAAUCCUUAAAGAUUUUUCCUGCUUUAGGCGUUAAUUCGGCGUUUUCUGAUAUAGGCGUGUAUAGCGCCCCAAUUCGGCCUUCCGGAUUCUAGGGGCUUCGCCGAAAUUUAAAAUCAUAUACUUCUAUGGCUAAGUGAAGGUUAUAAAGUUGUAUAGUCCGAUUGCCUAGUUCGCUGCGCUGGACACCUCCUUAAGGGACCAAACAUUUGGAUAAAGAGUGUCCGGGUUUUCCACGAAAACCCCAGUACUAGUUACACGGGGGGCGGAAGCCGACGACUGGCCUACAUUCAGAAUUUGAUAAACAGCCGCACAGAAGGUAAUAUUUUAAAUCACAUAAGCGCUACAUAGCGCAAGUAACUUCGUCUUUAAAUUACAAACAUGACAAAAGUGAAUUCAUUCAAAAAUUAUGUCUUUGGUACAUUCAUUGGCCACGAGGCAAGCACCCUUCAUAACGCCAUCAUAAUACUUCUCGGGGACGCGAUGCGGCUUGCCCUCCGGUGGCCCGUCCUUCACCAGCUUCUCCGCAUCCAGCUUGCCCCAAUGCACCUUGGCACGGGCAAGGGCCCGGCGGGCACCCUCAAUGCAAACGGAUCGCUUGAUGACUUCCAGUCGCGGGUAGGAAUCCACCAUCCGCUUGAUCAGGCCAAAGUAGCUUGUGGGCAGAAGCUCGCCAGGCCAUAUCUGGACUAUGAGAUCUUUCAUAGCCACUUCGGCCGCCCUGUGGAGUUCGACCAACUGCUUUAGUUGGUCACUCAGAGGUGUUGCAUGCUGAGCCACAGCAUACUGGGACCAGAACAACUUCUCCGUUGAGCUCCCCUCCUGGGCACGGUAGAACUCCGCGGCAUCUGAUACGCUGCGUGGCAGGUCUGCAAAUUCCCCUGGAGAGCUCCGGAUUCGAGUAAGUAAAAGAAACGCCUCCUCCACAUGUUUGCUUUGCAUAAAAAAUUUGUUACCUGCCGCUAUUUUCUUGGCCUCCUGGAUCUCUUCUUGAGCCCUCUCGGCUUCGGCCUUGGCGUAUUUCGUAUUUGUAAGGGCUUUCGCAAGCUCGGCCUCCUUUGCUUUAAGCUCCCGCUCCGCAGACUCGAGCUUCUUGCCGAGCUCCUGGAGCUCUCCUUGUAUCUCGCCCACUCGGGCCUCUUGCUUUUUGCGCUCCUUGAGUUCCAAGGCCGCUUUGUGUUCGGCCUCGUACAACGCCUUCUUGAGAGACGCCACUUCGGUGGCGGCCUCUGUUACCACAUCACGACGUCUCGUUGUUAGCAUAAUCAAAUUUUAUUUACUAUUUAUUAUAUGAGAGAGGGAAAUCAUUUACCUUUGUUCUCUUCGAGCUGCCUCCUCGCGAGGCAGAGCUCUCCCUAUGCCCACUCUAAAUCAUGCGUCAGGCUGGCGAUUUCGGCCGUGCGAGCAGCAGUGGCCAGCAGCACAACCUGUUUAUUUACAUUCAACACUUAUUGUUAGAUUCCUGUGGAUUAUAAUUGACCCUCCGUUUGGUUUUUCUUUCCGAACACCGAACAGAGUAUCAGGGGCUACUACCUAUCGGGUGGUGAUUUUACACAUUUUUACUGCUUACCUCAAAGCCUGUUAGGAGGCUGGUGCAGGCUUCGGUUAGUCCGCUCUUGGCGGACGAAACCUUCUGAAUCACCGCACUCAUGAGAGUAUGGUGCUCUUCAUCUAGGGAAGCGCUUCCAGCAGACAAUCCGGCGCCUGGGGCGCAACAGAAGUCCUUGAUAUAGACGGCCCUCCCUCCAUAACGAGGGGCUGCCCGCCUAAGUCCGGAACCACUGAAGGCUCCGGAACAGUGUUGGGCUGAGAGCCUGGCUUGCCGUGGCUCUCAUCGACACGAUCCGCGGGGACCUUGAACCCCGCGAGUCCGACGCUUGGGACGCCGCCUUGAGGCGCCUCCAGGGCCACCCCCGCCAUCAUCGGGAGCCUUCGGGACAACACCUUAGUGUCGUCCGUAGGACGAGGAGACAUUGCCGUCGGGAGUGAGUUCAUUGCUGACUCACUCAAGGACCCAUCCAAAGACGACACUCCCGGAUGGGCCCUGGCCGGACUGCAUACAAGUUUAGCAUUAUAAACAAAAUUAUGAAGCAAAAAUUACGAUUGAGUGCGGAUACUUAUGAUCGCACAAGGGGCUUCUUCCUGGGCAGCCACCCUUCCUCGCUAUUGGCGGUGGUGGCGGAGUAGUCCGAAAGGGAUGCCUUUCCCUUCUUGGACGUCCCAGUCUCCCCCACCGGGGUGGCCUUCCUCUUCUUCCCUCCCCCGACACGGGGAGGUGGUAUUUCUUCCUGAUCCUCCCUGCCUCCGUGGGAGGAAUUUGCCUCGUCGUCGUCGGACGACGAGGGUAUGACGGCCAUGCACCGGGGGCCUCUCCUGGUCCCCUGGUCUGCCGUCUCGGGCCCCCCAUCCUGUCCGGAUAGGGCGGCCUCUUCUUCUUCUCCUUCUUCCCUUUUGGGGGAGGAGUCUUCCCCGUCCUCUUCGGAUGAGGCUUCUGGUGUGGCCUUACGCCGGAGACUCUUUCGGGUCCCCGGGGCCUUCUUGUUGGCCUUCUUCUCCGGCCCCUUGUAGGGUGCCGGAGCAAGCAUCUCCAUCAGGAGAGCAUUAGCUGGGCUUUCCGGCAGCGGUGCCGGACAGUCAAUCCGCUCCGCCACCUCCACAUAGUCCUGAAACGAAUACACACGAUUACUUGAGGUUCCCCCGCAAUUAUACUGGGAAGGACUGAAUUCGGUGAUGGCCUUAGAACUCACCUGAGUAGGUUGCUGUGCGGCAUGGAGCCCGCGGUCCUCGGAUACGGGAGGAGGAACUUCGGAAGCCUUGAACAGCACCUUCCACGCCUUCUUGUGCUUCAUGCCAUAGAGCCUCUGAAGCGUCUGGUGUUCGGCUGGAACGAACUCCCAUAGAUUGAAUGCCCGCCUUUGGCAUGGCAAAAUCCGACGAAUGAGCAUGACCUGGAUCACAUUGACAAGCUUGAUUUUCUUGUCCUUCAUGCCUUUGAUGGAGGUUUUGAGUCCGGCCAGCUCUAUAGAUUCGCCCCAGGACAGGCCCUUCCAUUCCCAGGAAGUGAGCCGCAUAGGGGUUCCGGAGCGGAACUCAGGGGCCGCCGCCCAAUUGGCGCCGCACGGCUCGGUGAUGUAGAACCACCCCGAUUGCCACCCCUUCACGGUUUCCGCAAAGGAGCCGUCAAGCCAGGUAACCUUAGGCAUCUUGCCCACCAUGGCUCCUCCGCACUCCACUUGCUGGCCACUCACGAUCUUCGGCUUCACGCAGAAGAUUUGCAGCCACAAGCCGAAAUGAGGCUUGAUGCAGAGGAAGGCCUCGCACACGACGAUGAACACCGAGAUGUUGAGGACGAAGUUCGGAGCUAGAUCAUGAAAGUCUAGCCCGUAGUAGAACAUAAGCCCGCGGACGAAGGGGUGGAGUGGAAACCCCAGUCCACGGACAAAGUGGGAAAGGAACACGACCCUCUCGUGGGGUCCUGGAGUUGGAAUGACCUGCCCCUCGUCUGGUAGCUGGUGCGCUAUGUCUGCGGCCAAGUAUCCGGCCGCCCAAAGGUUCGCGAUCUUCUUCUCUGUCACGGUGGAAGCCACCCACUUGCCUCCUGCUCCGGACAUGACUAACUGUGCGGAGAAGACCUGGACUAGGGCGCUGGAGCUCGAGGGGGCAAGAGUAUGCGAGGGGAGGAAGAAGGUGGGGGUAAAAUGAGGAACUCUUAUCCCUUUAUAGAGGCGAAGAAAGCGGUGCGCCUCCCCACUAGCCUGUUGAGAAUCGCUUACUUCCCAAGCGCCACGAUUGAUGGCACGGGGGGCUUACCCAUACCCGUAUUGAUGAGAAUCCCGCGGUAAGGGGACAUGAUCUCUGCUUUGACAGGACGUGUCAAGGAAACCGCCUCACAAUACGCGUUGUGGCUGGUUGUGAAAAAACGGUUCGAGUAAUGACCUGGCCCUAAUGGCAUGUCACGUCGUCUAAAAGUUGUCAGCUGGAGUAGCAUUCUCUCUACGGUGGUAUGUGAAGAUCAUUUUGCACAUCCGGACACGGUCUACGUGCUCGAUGGUAACCUUGGAGUAUUCGGAAGGAGGAACCCGCCUUGCAAUGCCGAAGACAAGACUGCACGCCGGACUCAUCGUCAUUGAAGCCUGGUUCAGGGGCUACUGAGGGAGUCCUGGAUAAGGGGGUAUCCGGAUAGCCGGACUAUAUACAUCGUCCGGACUAUAGAGGCGUCAAGAUACAAGACUCAAGACUUCGGCUCGUGUCCGUAUGGGACUCUCUUUUGCGUGGAACACAAGCUUGGCGAUCCGGAUAUUAUGUUUCCUUCCUUGUGAACCGACUCCAUGUAAACCCUAGCUCUCCGGUGUCUAUAUAAACCGGAGAGCAUGGUCCUUAGAAGGCCGAUCACAAUUACAAUCAUACCAUCAUAGGCUAGCUCUUAGGGUUUAGCCUCUACGAUCUCGUGGUAGAUCUACUCUUGUAUUCCACAUAUCUUCAAUAUUAAUCAAGCAGGAAGUAGGGUUUUACCUCCAUCGAGAGGGCCCGAACCUGGGUAAACAUUGUGUCCCUUGCUUCCUGUUACCAUCAUCCUAAGACGCACAGAUCGGGACCCCCUACCCGAGAUCCGCCGGUUUUGACACCGACACCCUCCUCCACCGUUUACUCCUCCGAUAGUAUCAUUGUAGUGCUUAGGCAAAGCCAUGCACAGAUCACAUUAUCAACACUGUCAUCACGUCGUCGUGCUGAUGAAACUCUACCUCGACCCUCUGCUGGAUCAAGAGUUCGAGGGACGUCAUCGAGCUGAACGUGUGCUGAACACGGAGGUGCCGUACGUUCGGUACUUGGAUCAGUUGGAUUGUGAAGACGUUCGACUACAUCAACCGCAUUAACAUAACAAUUCUGCUUUCGGUCUACAAGGGUACGCGGACAUACUCUCCCCCUCUCAUUGCUAUGCAUCUUCUAGACAGAUCUUGCGUGAUUGUAGGAAUUUUUUUGAAAUUAUGUGCUAUGUUACCCAACACCGUUAUGUGAUGAAGUCAGAGCAUGAUUUAUUUAUUGAUUGUCCUCCUUAUGAGUGGCGGUCGAGGACAAGCGAUAGUCUUUUCCUACCAAUCUAUCCCCCUAGGAGCAUGCGUGUAGUACUUCGUUUUGAUGACUAAUAGAUUUUUGCUAUAAGUAUGUGAGUUCUUUAUGACUAAUGUUGAGUCCAUGGAUUAUAAGCACUCUCACCCUUCCACCAUUGCUAGCCUCUCUAGUACCGCGCAAAUUUUGCCGGUAGCUUACACCCACCAUAUGCCUUCCUCAAAACAGCCACCAUACCUACCUUUUAUGGCAUUUCCAUUGCCAUUCUGAGAUAUAUUGUCAUGCAACUAUCCACCGUUCCAUUUAUUAUGACACGCUUCAUCAUCGUCAUAUUGCUUUGCAUGAUCAUGUAGUUGACAUCGUAUUUGUGGCAAAGCCACCGUUCAUAAUUCUUUCAUACAUGUAACUCUUGAUUCAUUGCACAUCCCGGUACACUGCCGGAGGCAUUCAUAUAGAGUCAUAUUUUGUUCUAAGUAUCGAGUUGUAAUUCUUGAGUUGUAAGUAAAUAAAAGUGUGAUGAUCUUCAUUAUUAGAGCAUUGUCCCAGUGAGGAAAGAAUGAUGGACACUAUGAUUCCCCCACAAGUCGGAAUGAGACUCCAGACGAAAAAUAAAAAAUAAAAAAAAGGAAAAAAGAAGAAGAAAAAAAGAGGCCAAAUAGCCCAAAUAAAAAAUGAAAAUGAGAGAAAAAGAGAGAAGGGGCAAUGCUACUAUCCUUUUACCACACUUGUGCUUCAAAGUAGCACCAUGAUCUUCAUGAUAGAGAGUCUCCUAUGUUGUCACUUCCAUAUACUAGUGGGAAUUUUUCAGUAUAGAACUUGGCUUGUAUAUUCCAAUGAUGGGCUUCCUCAAAUUGCCCUAGGUCUUCUUGAGCAAGCGAGUUGGAUGCACACCCACUUAGUUUCUUUUUGAGCUUUCAUACACUCAUAGCUGUAGUGCAUCCGUUGCAUGGCAAUCCCUACUCACUCAUAUUGAUAUGUAUUGAUGGGCAUCUCCAUAGCCAGUUGAUAUGCCUAGUCAAUGUGAGAUUAUCUCCCUCUUUUUGUCUUCUCCACAACCACCAUAUUCUAUUCCACCUAUAGUGCCAUAUCCAUGGCUCAUGCUCAUGUAUUGUGUGAAAGUUGAAAAGGUUUGAGAACAUCAAAAGUAUGAAACAAUUGCUUGGCUUGUCAUCUGGGUUGUGCAUGAUUUAAUACUUUGUGUGGUGAAGAUGGAGGAUAGCCAGACUAUAUGAUUUUGUAGGGAUAACUUUCUUUGGCCAUGUUAUUUUGAGAAGAGGUGAGUCAAUAUUAAACUUUUGUUUUGAAUCUUAUGGAUCUAAAUAUUCUUGCCACAAUAAAGAAGAUUACAUGAUAAAUAUGUUAGGUAGUAUUCCACACCAAAAAUUCUGUUUUUAUCAUUUACCUACUCGAGGACGAGUAGGAAUUAAGCUUGGGGAUGCUUGAUACUCUCCAACGUAUAUAUAAUUUUGAUUGUUCCAUGCUAUUAUAUUAUCCCUCUUGGAUGUUUUAUAUGCAUUUAUAUGCUAUUUAUAUGAUUUUUGGGACUAAUUUAUUAACCUAGAACCCAGUGCGAGUUUCUGUUUUUUAUUGUUUUUGAGUUUAGCAGAAAAGGAAUAUCAAACGGAGUCCAGUUGACCUGAAAAUUUAUGGAGAUUAUUUUUGGAAAAAAUAAAAAAUAUUGGAACAAAAAGAUACCAGGGAAGAGUCCCGAGGCCACCACAAGGGUGGAGGGCGCGUCCCUCCUAGGGCGCUCCCCAUACCUUGUGGCUGCCUCGUGGGUCCCCUAACUUGUUCCCGACGCCAACACCUCUUAUAUAACCCCAAACCUCAAGAACAGAACCUAGAUCAAUAGUUCCGCCGCCGCAAGCCUCUGUAACCACAAAAAACCUCUUGAGACCCUGUUCCGGCACCCUGUCAGAGUGGGGAUCCAUCACUGGUGGCCAUCUUCAUCAUCCCGAGGCUCUCCAUGACGAGGAGGGAGUAGUUCACCCUCGAGGCUGAGGGUAUGUAUGAGUAGCUAUGUGUUUGAUCUGUCUCUCUUGUGUUCUUGAUUUGGCACGAUCUUGAUGUACCACGAGCUUUGCUACUAUAGUUGGAUCUUAUGAUGUUUCUCCCCCUCUACCUUCUUGUAAUGGAUUGAGUUUUCCCUUUGAAGUUGUCUUUUUGGAUUGAGUCUUUAAGGAUUUGAGAACACUUGAUGUAUGUCUUGCAUGUGCUUAUAUGUGGUCACAAUGUGAUAUUCACGUGAUCCACUUGAUGUAUGUUUUGGUGAUCAACUUGUGGGUUCUGUGACCUUGUGAACUUACGCAUAGGGUUUGGCACAUGUUUUUGUCUUGACUCUUCGGUAGAAACUCUGGGGCACUCUUUGAAGUUCUUUGUGUUGGUUUGAAUAGAUAAAUCUAAGAUUGUGUGAUGCAUGUCGUAUAAUCAAACCCGUGGAUACUUGUGGUGAUAUUGGAGUAUCUAGGUGACAUUAGGGUUUUGGUUUAUGUGUGUCUUAAGGUGUUAUUUUAGUAUGAACUCUAGGGCUAUUUGUGACACUUAUAGGAAUAGUCCAAUAGGUCGGUCAGAAAGAAUAACUUUGAGGUGGUUUCGUACCCUACAAUAAUCUCUUCGGUUGUUCUCUACUAUUAAUGACUUUGGAGUGAAUCUUUGUUGCAUGUUGAGGGAUUGUUAUAUGAUCCAAUUAUGUUAUCAUUGUUGAGAGAACUUGCACUAGUGAAAGUAUGAACCCUAGGCCUUGUUUCAAAGCAUUGCAAUACUGUUUUCGCUCACUUUUAUCGCUUGCUACCUUGCUAUUUUUAUAUUUUUAGAUUACAAAAACCUAUAUCUACCAUCCAUAUUGCACUUGUAUCACCAUCUCUUCACCGAACUAAUGAACUGAUAUAAUUUACCAUUGUAUUGGGUGUGUUGGCGACACAAGAGACUCUUUCUUAUUUGGUUGCAGGGUUGUUUAAGAGAGACCAUCUUCAUCCUACGCCUCCCACAGAUUGAUAAACCUUAGGUCAUCCACUUGAGGGUAAUUUGCUACUAUCCUACAAAACUCUGCGCUUGGAGGCCCAACACGAGUCUACAAGAAGAAGGUUGCGUAGUAGACAUCACUCUUCUCCAUUUACAACAAGUGCAACACACAAAUCUUCCUCCUUCAAGUCUUCCAUAAACUCAUAAGAGGUAUGGGAGAUAGUUAACAUAGUUUUUCCCUCCUCCUUAGAGGUAUUACCUUCAGUUUUUUUGGUAGAAUAAUGAUCUUUCUCUUGUUCCAAAUGAAAGAUUAAGAAUUUUCCUUGCGCUUGCAUGUAGUAUCCACAUCAAAUGGCCAAGGCCUCCCAAGAAGAACAUGGUUGGCAUCCAUAUCUACUACAUCACACAACACAUUUGAGCGAUAAUGCUUACCCAAAGAGAGUGGCGGGUUGCAUUGUUUGGUGAUCAUCAUAUUCACUCCUUUCUUGACCCACCCAAUAGUGUAGGGGUUUGGAAGAUCAUGAGUCUUAAGCUUUAAUUCGCUCACCAACUUCUGGGAGAUAAGAUUCUCGCAGCUGCAACUAUCAAUCACUAAUUUGCAUACCUUUCCAUUCACCGUGCAUUUGCUCUCAAAUAUUUUCUUCCGUGUGUCGCCGGGUUGUGGUGUGAAACACAAGAGACGCUGAAUCAGACAUGUACAUCUUCACCUUCUUUUUGACAAACAUUUUGUCCCUCUACAUCUUCAUAUACAUUAUUUUUCCUCAUUGUUGUCUUGACCAUCAUGGAUACUUGUGUUAACAAAUUUCCUUAGUGUGCAACUGCUAGAUAUGCGUCAUUUUGGUUCUUCAUUGGACUUACCCUUGCUUCUAGUUUGCUUAUGGAUCGGUCAUUUUGCCUUUCGUGGAGCGGUCUUUUCUUCCACUCUCUUAGGCUGACUCCUAGACAAGCCUUCAGUAUGGGGAUAUGGAGCCUUAGUUGUAUCUCUGAUCCUCACAAACCUCUCGGCCUUCAAGGCUAGAGCUUGCGCUUGAUCAAUGGACUAGAUUUGUUGCAUCAUCAAUCAAUCUUGAAUAGUAUCAUUGAGACCUUUGAUGUACCUUGCAAAUUUUUAAUAUUCAGUUCCGACAAGGUUGCACCUCACUUGUAGCCUUAAAAACUCAUCAGUGUAAUCUGAAAUAGUCCUAUUUCCUUGAGCACAAUUUUGGAACUGGAUAAAUAGGAUCUAGUCAUAACACUACAAAAAAAAGACACAUCCGUGACAUUUUGGGCCGAACGAAAAAAAAUUCUGUCAUACAUAUGACACUUCUAUGACGAUAAUUGUGACAAAACCCGGUAUCAUCAUAGAUGUGGUGGGCUCCUACUUCUAUGACAAAAAAUCAUGACAGAAAAUGGGCUUUUCGUCCUGGGCGGGCCGGAGACGCAGCUGCAUGACAUUCUUUGGGUCAUCCAUGAUGGAAAAAAACGUGAUAGAAGCGAGGGGGAGGAAAAUUUCGGGGAGUUGCCGGUUACGGUGGGAGGUCGGGGGUGGAGCGAUGUGCGUUCCUCUCGUACGUACGCGCAUGUGUGCAAGGCGUUGGCUCUAACUGAAGCCGAGCGAGGCGUUGGGCUCUAACUGAACCCGAGCGAUUGCACUGCAGGCUACGUGUUACUGAACCCGAGCGAUCGAUCGAUGGCCGUUAACUAAACCCGAUGGAGCGAUUCCUUCGCUACUGCUGCUAACUGAAGCCGAUCGAUGCUGCCUUUGGGAUGAGUAGUGAGCAUUGCGGGGGGGUUUGGAUGAACAGUGAGCAGUGGCAUUGCCUCUGGAUGAACAGGAACCCGUGGUGUGGAGGGCUGGAUGAACAGUAGACGAUGGAGGGGUGGCCGUGGAGGGGUGGUUGAACAGGACCCCGUGGUGUGGAUGGCUGGAUGAACAGUAGACGGUGGAGGGGUGCCCGUGGAGGGGUGGUUGAACAGUAGCCGAUGGAGUAGCGCGCGGUGGAGGCUGGAUGAACAGGAGCCCGUGGAGGCUGGAGGAGGUCGACGGUAGCCCGUGGAGGCUGGAGGAGGUCGACGGUGGAGAUGAACAGUAUCUCGGGGAGUCCCGUUUUGCAGUACGCCACACCCCUCCCUCCCCCCCCGUUUCGACCGUAGCGCUCCGACACAAGUCCAUUUCGUCCGUUUUGUGGUACGCCACACCCCUCCCGAUCAACAGGAACCCCGUUUCGGCUGUAGGAGGUCCGUUUCCUCCGUUUUGCGGUACGCCACACCCCUCCCGAUCAACAGGACCCCCGUUUUGACCGUAGGAGGUCCGUUUCGUCCGUUUUGCGGUACGCCACACCCCUCCCGAUCAACAGGACCCCCGUUUCAACCGUAGGUUUCCUCCAUUUUGCGGUACACCAGGCCCCUCCCGAUCAACAGGGCCCCGUUUCGAACGUGGCCGGUCGAACACAAGGCUGUUUCCUCCGUUGUGCGGUACGCCAGGCCUCGUUUCCAGCGCCUGUUCCAUCCAAGCCCUCCCGAUGAACACGACCACGCAUUCCGUUCCAACCCAGCCGGUUGGCUCCCCAUGAACACGACGACGACGUUGUUUCUCCGUUCCGACCCAGCCAUGUACGUAUGCAUGAGUAGGCGUUCGAGCCCCUGCCCGUAUGUACGUACGUGGCCGUAUUUUCUUUCUUGCACCCUCGCCACUGUACGUACAUGUACAUGCUACGUGCGCGCCUCUACUACGACACGUGCGCGCCUCUACAUCUACGACACGUGCGCGCCUCUACAUCGACCAGUAUGUACGUACACGUUCGCGACCAGAAUGACAACGCUACGUACGCUUCGACCAGGUGGGUCCCGAAUGUCAGGCACUUCCUUGCGUGCGAAGAUGUAGCUGGUGGGUCCCAGCAGUCAAGGGGGCGAAUCGUUUUUUUUUGCCCGGACGCACUUCCUUGCAUGCGAAGGUGUAGCUGGUGGGUCCCAGCAGUCAGGGGGGAAAUGUUUUUUUCGCGAAAUAUGGUGGCCCGUCCAGUGGGUCCCCGCCGUCAGGUGGAGGAAUAAUUAUUUUGCACGUAAUAAGGAGGCACUUCCUUGCUGUGGCCGUGGACCCAGCUGUCAGCCUCUCCACAUAUAGUCCAUGUCCGAUGGAAGUCAUUCCUUGACCACAUUGACCACGCCGCGCCGAGAGCACCAGGGCGGUGGACGACGCGGAGCCGGGGAACACGCCGCAGUGGAUGCCCACGCGUAGAGGAGUACGAGGGUUCACUGGUUCGCUGCGGUGUGAGGUUGCCGUCGCCGCAGAAUAACAGGGGGUGUGGGUGAGUAGAGGGAUGGCCUGGCCAGCGGUGGGAGUAGUAGGGGCGACGAGGCCUCCGCUGCAUCGCAGUCGGCCACGGGAGGCAGGAGCACGAGGCAUGACCGGCGCUGGUUUGGGCGGCUGGAGCAAGAAGACCAGAGGUUGAAGAAGCACUACGGCUGUUGGAUGGACAUCGUAUGGUCACUAGAGCUAGAAUCGUGCAUAUUGACUAAGUUGACAAAGCCCUCCGUCCCUGUCAACUUAGUAGGCCCACAAGUCAGCCUGCCACUAUACUGGGUCCCAGCUAACAGGGCGAGUAUUCAUUUUUUUGUGCGUAAUAAGGAGGCACUUCCUUGCGUGCAAAGAUAUAGCUGGUGGGUCCGAGCUGUCAGCGGCGAUAACGUUUUUUUCGCGAAAUACUAAGGCCCUUUCGGUGGGUCCCCGAUGUCAGGUGGAGGAAUCAUUAUUUUGCACGUAAUAAGGAGGCAUUUCCUUGCGUGCGGCCGUGGACCCAGUUGUCGGCCUCUCCAUGUACAGUCCACUUCAGAUGCAAGUCGGUCGUUCACCAUGUUGACCAGGCCGCGCCGAGAGCACCAGGGCGGUGGACGACGGCGAGGCCUAGGAAGGGAACGACACGGAGGCAGGGAAGACUUAGCAGUUGUUUCCCACGCGGAGGGGAGUACGAUUGAACGAGGGUUUACUGGUUCGUCUGCCGUCGCCGGAGAAUAACAGCAGGUGUGGGUGAGUAGAGGGAUAGCUAGGCCAGCGAUGGGAGUACGGUGGGGCGGUGAGGCCUGCGCGGCAGCACAGCCGACCGCGGGGAGGAGGGAGCAGGCAGUCCCGCCGGCGCUUGUUUGAGUGGCUGGAGCAGGAAGAGCAGAGAUUGAAGAAGCACGACGGCCGUUGGAUGGCCAUCCAACAGUCACUGCUUGUGCGUCAACCUUUUUUUAGGAAAGCCUCAAAUCUGUGGAAAACAGCGUACAUCCCAUCUGCCAUUAUUUCUAAUAAUUUACAGCCCAUUUGCUAAUUCUUAAGGUUUUGUUUGGAGCCCAUAUUCUUUUUGUUAGCGUUACAGCCCAUAUUGUGGUCAUGGUUAAAAAAUUAUACGAAAUUUUGCAUAUUUCGGUGCGGUCCGAACUGUUUUUAAUCCCGAAAUUUCGACUCACAUUCAAACUGAAUUUAAAACUAAAUGUAUAUCAAUAUAAAAUCCAACAAAUUCUCCAUGCAUAAAAAUUAAUUUAAUUUAAACUCUCAAAAUGAAAAAAAAAAUUUGAAACUAAUUGCCGCUUUGAUGUGUUUUAAAAAUGUACAGCCCAUUUCUCAUUACUAAUGGGCCAUUUUCUCGGUCAGCCGAAUGAAAGCUCUCCUUGUCUUGAAAGAUUUGCAGCCCAACAGGCCUGACAAAGCGACUUACUUGGCAAAUCACAAAAAAACUGGGUUGUGGCCAUGGACCCGGCUGUCAGCCUCUCCACGUACAGUACUCUUCCGAUGGAAGUCGUUCCUUGACCACGUUGACCACGCCACGCGGAGAGCACCACGGCGGUGGACGACGGUGAGGCCUAGGAAGGGGACAACGCGGAGCCGGGGAAGACACGGCAGUGGAAGCCCGCGCGGAGAGGAGUACGAGGGUUCACUGGUUCGGCUGCGGUGUGAGGUUGCCAUCGCCGUAGGGCCUGGCCAGCAGUGGGAAUAGUAGGGGGCGGUGAGUCCUCCGCGGCAGCAAAGCCGGCCACGGGAGGCAGGAGCAUGAGGCACGACCGGCGCUGGUUUGGGCGGCUAGAGCAAGAAGACCAGAGGUUGAAGAAGCACUAGGGCCGUUGGAUGGACAUCGUACGGUCACUGGAGCUAGAAUCGUUCAUAUCGACUAAGUUGACAAAGCCCUUCGUCCCCGUCAACUUAGUAGGCCCACAAGUCAGCCUCCCACCAAGGUGGGUCCCAGCUAGCAGGGGGAGUAUUCAUUUUUUGUGAGUAAUAAGGAGGCACUUCCGGUGGGUCCGAGCUGACAGCAGGGGGGACGUUUUUUUCACGAAAUACGGUGGCCCGUCAGGUGGGUCCCAGCAGUCAGGGGGCAAACGUUUUUUUCGCAAAAUACGGUGGCCUAUCCAAUGGGUCCCUGCUGUCAGUUGGAGGAAUCAUUAUUUUCCGCGUAAUAAGGAGGCACUUACUUGCUGCGGUCGUGGACCCAGCUGAGACUCUUCAUGUACACUAUACUUCCGAUGGAAGUCGUACCAUGACCACGUUGACCUCGCCGCAUUCCGUUGCAUGCAUGCGUCCAUGGGCGUGGUGCGUCCCCACUGUUAGCCUCUCACGUACAGUCAUCUUCCGAUGACUCUCGGUUGUUGACCAUGUUGACCACACCGUGCCAAGCACACCCAUACUGGAACGACCCGGAGAUGAGGAAGACGGGGCAAUGGAGUCGCAGAUGGAGAGGAGUGGGAAACUUCACUGGUUCGGGUGCGCGGCAGCACAGCCGCGGUGCCACCCACGGGAGACAGGAGCAAGAACAGAGGUUGAAGAAGGAGCACGGUUGUUGGAUUAAGAUCCAACGGUCCAGCUGCUAGAAUCAUUUGUUGAUUAAGUUGACAAAGCCGUGCGUACACGUCCACUUAGCAGGCCCACAAGUUAGUCACCAAAUCUGACGGCUCCCAGCUGUCAACGGGAUGAAUGAUUUUUUCGCAAAACAAGGAGGCACUUCCUUCUGUGUGAAGAUACAGCCGGUGGGUCCCAGCUGUCAGGUGGAGGAAACAUUUUUUUCAGCUUAAUAAGGAGGAACUCUCCUUGCGUGCGACCAUGGACCUCGUGGGUCCCAGCCGUCAGGCUCUCCACGUACAGUCCUCUUCCGAUGACUCUCAUUUGUUGACCACGCCGCACCGAACACAGCGAGGCGGUGGACGAGGUGAGGCCCCGGACGGGAACGACUCAAAGAUGGGAAAACGCGGCAGUGGAGUCACAGAUUGAGAGGAGGAGAAGGGUUAUAACUGGUUCUGUUGCAAUUCAUAUCAAACUCAGGUUCACAGGACACGUUCAUAUUCAUAGCCAACAUUCACUAUCAAGAACUCAAAAGAUUCAUAUAUACACAAGCUCAGCAUAUCUAUGCAUCCAAAUGAUUGAUAGAUCACACGACAAUAUUCAUACAUAAUUCACAAAAAGAUUCAGAUAUACACAUGUUCAGUAUGUUUAUGCAUCCAAUGAUCCAAAUGAUUGAGAUCACAGCCAAUAUGAUCCAUGGACGAACUUUAAUUACCUAGGGUACAGACUGGUAAAUGGUGUUCAAUCAGAGGUACUUCUUGCUAAAAUUAGUUCUUGUACGAGUAAACUUUCGAGUACAUAAGAGGCAGCACAGACAAUCUGAACUUUGCUUGUAGGUUUAUCCUCAAAUAGUGGCCUCGUACCGACGGAGGUUUGAGCAACUUGGCCACUACUUUCAUCCAACUAGUUUACUGGCUCAUCUUGGUCCUGUAUCUCGCCAAAAUUCUACAUUGCAGAUGAGAAAGGAGGCGGUUGAGAAAAUGAAUCACCCAAAUUUUUUGUGCAGUUCAACUGAAAUAGAGCAUCCUUGGCGUGCAGACUGAUUAAGUCCCAGAUGAAUAUACGUGUCAACCAACUUGUCCAGAAUCUUUAGACUCCAUGCCAUAUAGUUCGCUACCAUAUGUGCCGAUAACCAAAAGGCACAAGUUGGGACCACAAACUGGACUGCGUUUUUCUGGGCUAUGCACCAAGCAAUAUUUUGGCGUUCACUCUCCUAAUACUUGGAGUUUGACAAUUGGUUCAGGCCGGUUGAUACUCGAAUGAAUAUAGGCACUUCUUGUCAACAUCGAUACUUGUCUGAGUGAACUUUGGAGUACAUAGCAGCAGCAUAAGUACAUGUCCAUCUGAUCAUUUUGUGUAGUUCUACUGAAAUCACCCGAUGUAAUGAUUUGCCUGCGAGUUCAGGAUCCAAAUUACUCCUUUAUGAAAUCGGCAAACAGUAGCACAAUACCAAAUUACCAAUACAUAUGACAGGCACAAUAAUCAGGAUAAAGACCAGUACCAACCUGUGUGAGGUAGCAUAUCAAUUACUAUUUCCUUUGACUGGAAGCCGAGAUAAGCCAAGCGACUGACAGCAAAGGAAGAAAGCAAGCGGAGAUUAGCGACUGACAGGAAAGGACGGAAGCUGUCAAGGCAAUGAAGCACCCAAAGUUUUUGUGCAGUUCCACCAAAAUCAAGCAUCCCUGUUGGCACAUAUAUUGAGAGAGUGAGAUUACUGUAAUAGUGGGACUAGUUGAUGAAACAUACACUAACAAAUAGAAGCACCCUCAUUAUCUUAAUGGGUAAAGUUAGCAACAUAGUAGUCUUGCUUAAAGAGAGGUAUUAGUUUAUUUAAUCAGUGCCAAUUAGCUCAACUCAACACUCAAAGCAUUGCCAUUUAUCAUAGGUUGCAAAACUUAAAAGUGCAAAGAUAAAGGAGUUUCUCAUGACAGUAGCACGAUACAAAUAGAGAUGACAGCAAACUAAUAUGGAUGAAGGCCUUAGGCCCGUACCAACCUGAGAAAAAAAGCUUAUUCAUGUAGUCACAUAAGAGAUGAUAAAGCACUCACUGGAAUCACACAAUAGUAUAUAUUUGUGUGCACUUCAAAUGUAUGGUUGAAAUCACUCUUGUUUACUAGUGCUGAGAUUAUAUUGAAAGAUUAUCAAGAACUUCCAGCAGAGUUAAAGCAAUGGCUGGGAUACAGUUCAUUGUAUUGUCUUAUGUAGUUCCACUAAAAUGUAUGAUUGGCACAACAUGAUCCCUGUUUGCACAAGUAGGAACAAGGUGAAACCUUCACUAGCUUAGUGAGAAAGGAUAGGAAGACAUUAGCAUAUUACUCAAACAGUAGCAUCAAAUUCAUGAUGGACAAUAUGCAAAACAUUGCCUCAUUGAACCAAUGGCAAUAAAUUGACAUGCAAAACAAUAGCACUAGUAUGUCAUGACACUAAUAAUAUUCCCUCCCUGCUCCACCACAUGAUUCACCUCCAUAGACAAACAUUCACACGUACAUGAUUCAGCAUAGGGUCCUACUAAAGAUUUGUUUAACUCCAACAGGAAAAUUAGGCAGUAAUAAAUUAGUGGUACUUAAGUGCUCCUAAUUAAUUAAGUGAGACAGCAGAAGUGGAAGGGCUCCCUGGAGGAUCGUCUCACAUGUAAGGUAGUCGUUGCGGAGCCCUUGAAUAGCCUCGACUGAGGCCUCUGGCUUCAGCAAGAUUGCCUUGGCACUAUUUAUUCUUCUUCUUCCUCCUCUUCAUGAUAUGUUCCUCUUUCUCCUCACCAGUUGGUGAAACCAAGUACAUGAUUGGCCUUCUAAUUCAGAAUUGGUCUUGUCAGUGAGGGAGUACAAGUGUACUAGUAAAAAACACCAUUAUUUUCUCAUGGCAGUCGGAAAAUAGAGAUGAACACAUGCAUUAAAUAUCAUUCUUACCUAAAGGAAGGUUAUGGCGCCAAUAUGGAUGAUGAGGAUUGGAACACAGAUCUCCCUUUGUGCAGUUCCACCAAAAUGAACCAACUGUUCCAUCUGACAUUCCAGUUAAACAGCACACAAGUCACUUCUUUUAAGAAGAGUUUUGUGCAGUGCACCAAAAGGUCACAACAGCAACCAGGUGAAUUGGAUAUCCCUGUUUGCACAAAAAGGCACAGAGGAAACAGUCAGAUUCUAAACAAUUAUAGGCAAAAACAUUUGGCUAAACUUGUCAGAGUCUCAAACAAUUACAGGCAAAAACAGUGGCAGGCUUCAUUUUUACCAGGGACAUUAUAUUAAGAACAGCUAAGGCUGCGUUCGGUUCACAGGUUUGGUGCAGGAUUUUCGUAGGAACACAAUUCCUACCGUAUUCUUUCCCUUCCAACCGUUCGGAACACGGGAAAGGUGAAUAGUGUUUCAUAGGAAAGCUGGUCUGGUAGUACUGAUUCCAUCGGAUUAGAAACAUCCACGCGCUGCUCAUUUUUUGGGCGGAAGCCCGAGGCAGGCGCUCGCUGCCAUGCGUUAGACAGGUUGCUGUGCUAUGUUUGCCGGAAUAAAAAAAUCAACCUAUGUGUGGUACGUGAGGUGAGGGCAAGAGUAGUCACUGUGCAGCUGAAUAAACAAAUAGCAUCUCAUACUGCCAAGCAUGCUACUCUUAAAAAACAAAUCUGUACAUUUCAUAGUCCAUCCGAACACAUUCUCUUGAGAGUUUCCUCUGGUUUGCUGUUCCAUAGUUUUAUACCUACAUUCCUUUCCUAUUCCUCUAUUUUCAUCAAUACAUAUGUUUUCUGCCCCUUUGUUCUGACCGGAGCCUAAAUAUUUGGUAUAAGGGCAUGGGACAGUGGGUGCACCAGCAGUACAGCACCAUGUACGUAAACAGGGGCAUAAAGUGGUGAUUCAUAGUUUGUUGCCCCGAGAAACAAACAUCCAAGAAACAUAUCUGGGUUGGUCCCAUUUUUGUUCACUCUAGCCACCUACUCCUAUGUGUGGAUAGCAAAUCUAGUCCUGGUCAUACCACUGUGUACAGCGUUACCCCUAUAUUUCCCUUUUCGACCAAGAGAUUGGUUGGAUGACCAGUCUGUACUACUUUCACCCCCUUUCCUUCCUGUUUGUACCAAGUCCGAUGUACAUACUAAAUUCCCCCACCCCCACUUUAUUUCAAUGGCAAGUAUUUUCGGACGGAGGGAGUACAAGAUUCGACUCCAUGAAGUAGCUUUACCUCUAACAAUAGAAGAAGAAAAAAUAGGUGACGUUGGACCAUCCGAUCGAGAGGGGCUGAGAGGUAGAAAAUGAUGCACAUGCAACGAUGUAGCGAGCUGGGGAAGUAGAGCUAAGGCGGUUUCGAACGAAGAUAUACCUGAAGGUCGUCGGGAUGUGGAUAGGUGGGCGGCGGGAGGCCGGAUCCGCCCACAGGCAACGACGAAGGGAUCGGAGGAUGUCACGCCCAAUAUGCGACCCUAUCCAAAAGGAACUCGAAGGUCCCACCAAGGAUAGACCCGCAUAUUGAAACGCUUUUGCAAGGUGGAUAUCAUUACAUCUACAUUACAUAAUAGAUGGGGAUACAUACAAGAGGCAUACAAUGACACAUGAAUACAACAUCACAAUACAUAAGAGCAUCAUCCGACUAUGGAUGAAACACAAACAGAAACUCAAACGACAUCCACCCUGCUAGCCCAGGCUGCCGACCUGGAACCUAUCCCCUGAUCGAAGAAGAAGCAGAAGAAGAACUCCAAGACAAGCAAACAACGCUCUCGCGUCAAGAUCAUCGCACAACCUGUACCUGCAACUGUUGUUGUAGUAAUCUGUGAGCCACGAGGACUCAGCAAUCCCAUUACCAUGGGUAUCAAGACUAGCAAAGCUUAAAGGGAAAGGAAGGCGGUAAAGUGGUGAGGUUGCAGCAGCGGCUAAGCAUAUAUGGUGGCUAACAUACGCAAAUAAGAGCGAGAAGAGAGCAAGCGGAACGGUCGUGAAGCUAGCAAUGAUCAAGAAGUGAUCCUGAACUCCUACUUAUGUCAAACAUAACCCAGAAACCGUGUUCACUUCCCGGACUCCGCCAAAAAGAGACCAUCACGGCUACACACGCGGUUGAUGCGUUUUAAUUCGGAUCUGGUGUCAAGUUAUCUACAACCGGACAUUAACAAAUUCCCAUCUGCCUAUAACUGCAGGCACGGCUUUCGAAAGAUUAUACCCUGCAGGGGUGUCCCAACUUAGCCCAUGAUAAGCUCUCGCGAUCAACGAAGGAUAUACCUUCUCCCAGGAAGACCCGAUCAGACUCGGAAUCCCGGUUUACAAGACAUUUCGACAAUGGUAAAACAAGACCAGCAAAGCCUCCCGCUGUGCCGACAAAUCCCGAUAGGAGCUGCACAUAUCUUGUUCUCAGGGCACACCGGAUGAGCCAGACGUCGGGUUGGCAUAGACCCUGAUUGCCCAGGGGGCGCCGGACAUCGCUCGGUUUGGACCAACACUUAGACAAGCACUGGCCCGGGGGGGUAAAAUAAAGAUGACCCUCGGGAUGCGCGACUCCCAAGGGAAAAAGGGCUAGGUGAGGCAAAUGGUAAAACCAAUGUUGGGCCUUGCUAGAGGAGUUUUAUUCAAAGCGAACUGUCAAGGGGGUCCCAUAAAUCACCCGACCGCGUAAGGAACGCAAAAUCCGGGAACAUAACACCGGUAUGACGAAAACUAGGGCGGCAAGAGUGGAACAAAACACCAGGCAUAAGGCCGAGUCUUCCACCCUUUACCAAGUAUAUAGAUGCAUUAAUAAUAUAAGAGAUAUUGUGAUAUCCCAACCAAAAUCCUAUCCGCCAUGGAGUAAUCUUCAACUUCACCUGCAACUAGCAACGCUAUAAGAGGGGCUGAGCAAAGCGGUAACAUAGCCAAACAACGGUUUGCAUAGGAAAGGUGUCAAAGGUUAGAGGUUCAUGGCAAUAUGGGAGGCUUGAAGAACAUGUGAUAGAUAGCGCAGCAUAGCGAUAGAACGAAACAGCUAGCAUAGCAAUGAUAGUAGUGAGAUCCAGGGUAGUGGUCAUCUUGCCUGAUAUCCCGCAAGGAAGAAGAACGGGUCCAUGAAGAAGAUGAAGCCACGAAGACGAACCAAGCGUAGACGAACGAAUCCUCAUGAUCGCAACGAAAUGGGAACUAUCGAGAAGAAGCACACAACAUAGUAAACACACCACACAUGAACAAGGCAUGAUGCACAACAAGCAUGAUGCAUGACAAGGCUACAUGAAGCUACUCAUGGCAAGAGAUGUUGCAAACAAGAACAACACAUCAAGGCAAGUUUAAAUGAGGCCGGAAGCAACAUAUAACAAUACCGGUAAGUCCUCAUAUGCAUAUUUCGAAAUUGGUCCAGAUCUGAAUAAACCUUAUGUUCAAGUUGUUAAAUAGCAAGUUAAGAUGCACAAAGAUGAUCUACACGAGAUUCUAGUCAAGUUACAUAUAAAGUUCAUUUAGUUCGGAGCUACGGCCUAGAAGAUAUGAGCAAAACAAGUUAAACAUGGCAUUGAUGCAAAAUGCACCCAAACAUCAAGCAAACACACCGAAACAAGGAUUCAACAUGAUAAUAUGAAGCUACAUUCAUAAUCAAGCAAGUUUCAUAUAGAGCACACUCAAACCGGAGCAACGGUUCAACACACACUCUAUACAAGUUUAAAGGACAAGCUGUCCAAAACAGCAACUAGGCAUAUUGCAAGCACCAAAACAACAUGCUACAGCACCUCAACAUAAUAACAAAAGGCAUGGGCAUGAUGUACAGGUAAAGCACAACAAAACAUGAACACUGAGCUAUCUCCAGAAAUCACUAGAACAUGCUCAAACACACAUGGCAAGAUUGCAAAUAAUAACAAUUCAGACUUUGCAGAAAAUAACAUCAGGUUGCAAUGUUUAGAGCUAUCAAACAACAUGUUACAGGAACUUAUAAUGGCAAACAAAGGCAUUGCAUGAAUCUACUAAUUGCAUAGGUCAAAAGUCCUUUACUGACCAUAAGCCAAAAAGGAUCAGAAAAUAUGAUGGCACCCAUGUAAACAUAGCAAGUUAUAAUACAGAUUCAUACAUGGCAGGAACAUAAUUAUGAAGGCAUGUAGAUGAGCUUGUGCAACUCACUACAGAGCAAAACAUGGCAUGGCAAGGCAACCAACAGUAAUAAGUCAUGUUUGUGAAGCUAAGCAUGGCAAGAGCAAGUUCAUAGGGUGCAUGGAACACUAGGAAAACACAUGGCAACAACUGAACUUAAUGCUAACAGGCUGACAACAACAUUAUGAAGCAACUUUGGAGCAAGAUAUGAACAAGCUACAGCAAGCUAUAAUUGCAACCAGGGGCAUGAAUGGAUAUAGCAUGACAUGUAGAUCAAAACAUAUUUAGUGAUCAUCUCCAGAUUAUGCAUAGAAUGAUUUGUAGAAGAAGGUUUACAUAGCAUCACGAAAUAACAGAUUCAGCCUAUCAAAACAGCAACAUCAAGUACCCUACUUAACAAGCUCGAUUCACUCACCACAAGUUAUUGCAUGACAAGAUAAGCAUAGCAUCAUCAAGAAGACAUGUUUAUGUAACCAACCAAGUCAAGAACAAGUCCAUAGCAUGCAAGGAUCAACUACAACAACCUUGGCCAAAUUGAAUAACAUGUAAACAAUCUGCCAGGAAACAUUUUGAAGCAAAAGUAGAGCACGAAAAUGACGUGCUAUACUACUCCAUAAUUGCAAACAGGGGCAUGAAUGGAUAGACAAUAACCACAUGUUCAAAACACCCUUACUGAAGUAUCUCAAAAUAUGCAUGGAUCUCUCUGUAGCAUCAAGUUUACAUGGCCUCAAAAUAACAGCAGAACAGGGACUAAAACCAGCAACAUCACGAUGCCUAGUUUGCAUGCUUGUGCUAGUCACCACAUUGAUCACAAAAAUACAUGGUAAGCACCUCUGUAAAGAAGACAUGGCAUAGUUCAAAACACAUGUAGACAUCAACCUCAAAGGAUGCACACAUCAAUCAUGGCAAAAAUGACAAAAGAGCUCGUUCUGAUAACAGACAGCAGAAAACAUUAUGAAACAUCUCUUGCAACGAUGAUUUAGGCAUCUAGAUGACCUCAAAUGAAUAUGAUGCAAUGGAAUGAAAUGAUGUACUCGUUGAGGCGAAUAAUUUGACAUAUUAUACGCAAGAAACGGAGCUACGGAUGCAGAGAUACNNNNNNNNNNNNNNNNNNNNNNNNNNNNNNNNNNNNNNNNNNNNNNNNNNNNNNNNNNNNNNNNNNNNNNNNNNNNNNNNNNNNNNNNNNNNNNNNNNNNNNNNNNNNNNNNNNNNNNNNNNNNNNNNNNNNNNNNNNNNNNNNNNNNNNNNNNNNNNNNNNNNNNNNNNNNNNNNNNNNNNNNNNNNNNNNNNNNNNNNNNNNNNNNNNNNNNNNNNNNNNNNNNNNNNNNNNNNNNNNNNNNNNNNNNNNNNNNNNNNNNNNNNNNNNNNNNNNNNNNNNNNNNNNNNNNNNNNNNNNNNNNNNNNNNNNNNNNNNNNNNNNNNNNNNNNNNNNNNNNNNNNNNNNNNNNNNNNNNNNNNNNNNNNNNNNNNNNNNNNNNNNNNNNNNNNNNNNNNNNNNNNNNNNNNNNNNNNNNNNNNNNNNNNNNNNNNNNNNNNNNNNNNNNNNNNNNNNNNNNNNNNNNNNNNNNNNNNNNNNNNNNNNNNNNNNNNNNNNNNNNNNNNNNNNNNNNNNNNNNNNNNNNNNNNNNNNNCGAUCGGAAAAACCAACUGCGUGAUCCUAAAGAAAAUUUUUGAAGGGGAAGAGGAGUAAUUCAAAACACCUACGUCAAUAUUCCUUACCAGAGCGACGAAGGGGCUGAGGAGUAAAAAUAAUUCCUACUCUCCGAUAUAACUAGACUCCAAAAUAGUUUUCUUCUAGACUCAACAACGGCCAAACUACAUGAUCAAACAAGGGGGCUCCUAGGGUCGGUCGAGGCUCUGAUACCAACUUGUCACGCCCAAUAUGCGACCCUAUCCAAAAGGAACUCGAAGAUCCCACCAAGGAUAGACCCACAUAUUGAAACGCUUUUGCAAGGUGGAUAUCAUUACAUCAACAUUACAUAAUAGAUGGGGAUACAUACAAGAGGCAUACAAUGCCACAUGAAUACAACAUCACAAUACAUAAGAGCAUCAUCCGACUACGGAUGAAACACAAACAGAAACUCAAACGACAUCCACCCUGCUAGCCCAGGUUGCCGACUUGGAACCUAUCCCCUGAUCGAAGAAGAAGCAGAAGAAGAACUCCAAGACAAGCAAACAACGCUCUCGCGUCAAGAUCAUCGCACAACAUGUACCUGCAACUGUUGUUGUAGUAAUCUAUGAGCCACAAGGACUCAGCAAUCCCAUUACCAUGGGUAUCAAGACUAGCAAAGCUUAAAGGGAAAGGAAGGGGGUAAAGUGGUGAGGUUGCAGUAGCGGCUAAGCAUAUAUGGUGGCUAACAUACACAAAUAAGAGCGAGAAGAGAGCAAGCGGAACGGUCGUGAAGCUAGCAAUGAUCAAGAAGUGAUCCUGAACUCCUACUUAUGUCAAACAUAACCCAGAAACCGUGUUCACUUCCCGGACUCCGCCGAAAAGAGACCAUCACGGCUACACACGCGGUUGAUGCGUUUUAAUUCGGAUCUGGUGUCAAGUUAUCUACAACCGGACAUUAACAAAUUCACAUCUGCCUAUAACCGCAGGCACGGCUUUCGAAAGAUUAUACCCUGCAGGGGUGUCCCAACUUAGCCCAUGAUAAGCUCUCGCGAUCAACGAAGGAUAUACCUUCUCCCAGGAAGACCCGAUCAGACUCGGAAUCCCGGUUUACAAGACAUUUCGAUAAUGGUAAAACAAGACCAGCAAAGCCUCCUGCUGUGCUGACAAAUCCCGAUAGGAGCUGCACAUAUCUCGUUCUCAGGGCACACCGGAUGAGCCAGACGUCGGGUUGGCAUAGACCCUGAUUGCCCAGGGGCGCCGGACAUCGCUCGGUUUGGACCAACACUUAGACAAGCACUGGCCCAGGGGGAUAAAAUAAAGAUGACCCUCGGGAUGCNNNNNNNNNNCCCCGGUGGGCCGCGGGAGGCGACGCGGGCAGGAGGCGCUGGGGGGGACACGCGGCGGCGGCGGAGGAGGCCGGAGGCCACGUGGCGGGAGCUGGUUGGCUGCGUGGGCGAGGGCGGACGUGUCCGGCUGCGGCUGGAUGCGUCCGGCGGUGGAGAGGGAAAAUCUAGGGUUUCAUCUGCGAAUUCAUCCGCGAAUUUCGGGGGAGGGGCUAGUUUUAUAGGUAGAGGGAGCUAGGAGAGUCCAAAUGAGGAGCGGUUUUCGGCCACGCGAUCGUGAUCGAACGAUCGAGAGCAUGGAGGGGAGUUAGAUGGGUUUUGGGCCACUUUGGAAGGGGUGUUGGGCUGCAAAGAGAGAGGGGCUUUACGGUUACCCGGUUAACCGUUGGAGUAUCAAACGGACUCCAAAUGGCACGAAACUUGACAGGCGGUCUACCGGUGCUAUACCAAGGCCACUUGACAAGCCUCGGUCCAUUCCGAGAACGUUUAACACCCACUCACAACAAGAGACAAAAGGGGGACGCCGGAGGACAUAGGAGCGCCGGAUUGCAAAACGGACAACGGGGAAAAGGCUCGGAUGCAUGAGACGAACACGUAUGCAAAAUGAAAUGCAUAUGAUGACAUGGUAAAAUGCAACACGCAAGCAAAUGACAUGGCAACGAUGGCGAAUAACUGGCAGACACCUGGCGCAUCGAAUCCGGGGCGUUACAACACUCCUCCACUAACAAGAGAUCUCGUCCCGAAAUCUUAGGACCGAGACGGAAGGGAAAAGGGCUGAGGUGAAGCAAGAACUCAAGAGAAGAAGAAAAGAAUCGAGAGCACUCGAGAAGAAGAGAGGAACGACGAGAAUGACAAGCAUCGAAAGCUCACGGAAUCAGAUAGACUAUGAAAGCACUCCAGUUGAAAAUGGAAGGAAUAGAACAGGAACUUCGCAAGAUGGAAUGACACUUGACGAAGACAUGACACAAAACCUCCGGAAAGAAUUGAAAGAAUUGAAUGAAACGAACUUAAAAGGAAGGAUUGACUGGAGUUGUUGAGAAAAUCAACAACGAAAAAAUAAGCUUGUCGUGGACUUAUGGAUAACAUCUCAGAAAUUAUGAGGUGAUAACCAGCCGCAACCUGAAAUGAUUGGAUAACUUAGAAGAACGAAGAAAUGCAAAACUCCACUUCAGAAGAAAACGGAGAAUUAUUUGCACUACGAGACACGAGAAGAAAAGAUACUUGAACUCCACCGACAAGAAUCUUGAUGAACUCUUGAACAAUGAAUUAAAUCAUGACGAGCCACCGUGAAUAACUCCGGUAACAAAAGGAUGAUGAAAUAGAAUGAAGGAUGAAAGAAUAAAAAUUCAAGCCUUGCGAUGAUUUAGAUGGAGGUUCUGACGAAAUGGCCGAGGAAAUUCGAACUCCGAGAAAAGAAAAGAUGAAGACACUUGGAACUAGAAUUUAUUCAUCGCGAACAAACUCCGGAGGAAGGGAUUACUCACUAGUUUGAAAUAAGAAUAAGAUUUAUUGUAUGCUUAUCCUUCAUCAAAAUAAAUUGAUGACAAGCAAUGGAAUUUGCAUACUACUUAUUCUUCUUGAAAAGGAUUAAGAAGGGAAAGCACAAAACUUGAGAAAAUCUUCAUGAACCACCGGUAGGAUUGGAAAGAACGAAUGAAUUAAAAUGAUAAUCAAGGAAAAAAAUCUGAAUGAACCACCGUAAGAAUUCGAAAAUUGAAUGACGAAAGAGAAUGAAUCACCAGGAAGAAUUAGAAUAACCAAUAAGCAAGAGGGGAUUUAGAUGCAAAAGAACAAAGAGAUCAUGAGCUGAUUAAAGAAUACUUGAACGAAGCACCGAGAUAAUUGGAUAACGGUAGCUGAAAUGAUGGCCUCCGGUGAAAAGAAAAAAGAAAACAACUCCUGAAAAACUCCGGAUGGUUAAGAAAAGGAAUACCUGACAAAUGGAAUAAUUUGAGAGGAUAAUAUGAAGCUAGAACCACGAAACUUCGAGAGAACGGGCAAGAUUUAGAGGAAAAGCUCUUCUUCGGUCUUCAAAAGACGACGAGAAACACCAACGAAAUUACUGAGAUACUCCGGGAGAAUGAAAAGCAGAGAGGUUGAGCCAACAAUGAAAAGAAUUUGAACGAGAUCUUGGAGAAGGCAUGUGACUGAUGGAAUCUAUUCUUACGUCACACUUGAAAAGAAUUGAGAAUAACUCCGGGGAAAUUAGAAGAGUCAGGUAAGAUCCUAGGAAAAGACCUGUGGGUUAGGGCCCACUGAAGAGAGAACACCGUUGGAAAGGAUUGUUGAAGAGAUAGAUGAUACACCGGAACAGUUGAAAUAUUUGAAUGAGGUGACAACCUCGAAUUAAUUCGAACACAGACGAACCUCCUGAGAUGUCUUGAACACUCCGGAAGGAUAAACUGGCGAGAGGCAAACGAGCAAGGAGAACACUUGAUUCAAGGAAAAGAAUGCGAUCAACACCGAAAAACUUGAAUUGAGUCCAUCGAAGAAGAGAUGAAGAAUGUCUAACAAGACGAGAAUUCACCGGUAGAAAUGAUUGAGGGAAGACUGAAGAGGCUCCGCACAAAUGAAAUAGAUAGUCGAGAGAGAGACAGACUCCGGUAAGAAANNNNNNNNNNNNNNNNNNNNNNNNNNNNNNNNNNNNNNNNNNNNNNNNNNNNNNNNNNNNNNNNNNNNNNNNNNNNNNNNNNNNNNNNNNNNNNNNNNNNNNNNNNNNNNNNNNNNNNNNNNNNNNNNNNNNNNNCGAUCGGAAAAACCAACUGCGUGAUCCUAAAGAAAAUUUUUGAAGGGGAAGAGGAGUAAUUCAAAACACCUACGUCAAUAUUCCUUACCAGAGCGACGAAGGGGCUGAGGAGUAAAAAUAAUUCCUACUCUCCGAUAUAACUAGACUCCAAAAUAGUUUUCUUCUAGACUCAACAACGGCCAAACUACAUGAUCAAACAAGGGGGCUCCUAGGGUCGGUCGAGGCUCUGAUACCAACUUGUCACGCCCAAUAUGCGACCCUAUCCAAAAGGAACUCGAAGAUCCCACCAAGGAUAGACCCACAUAUUGAAACGCUUUUGCAAGGUGGAUAUCAUUACAUCAACAUUACAUAAUAGAUGGGGAUACAUACAAGAGGCAUACAAUGCCACAUGAAUACAACAUCACAAUACAUAAGAGCAUCAUCCGACUACGGAUGAAACACAAACAGAAACUCAAACGACAUCCACCCUGCUAGCCCAGGUUGCCGACUUGGAACCUAUCCCCUGAUCGAAGAAGAAGCAGAAGAAGAACUCCAAGACAAGCAAACAACGCUCUCGCGUCAAGAUCAUCGCACAACAUGUACCUGCAACUGUUGUUGUAGUAAUCUAUGAGCCACAAGGACUCAGCAAUCCCAUUACCAUGGGUAUCAAGACUAGCAAAGCUUAAAGGGAAAGGAAGGGGGUAAAGUGGUGAGGUUGCAGUAGCGGCUAAGCAUAUAUGGUGGCUAACAUACACAAAUAAGAGCGAGAAGAGAGCAAGCGGAACGGUCGUGAAGCUAGCAAUGAUCAAGAAGUGAUCCUGAACUCCUACUUAUGUCAAACAUAACCCAGAAACCGUGUUCACUUCCCGGACUCCGCCGAAAAGAGACCAUCACGGCUACACACGCGGUUGAUGCGUUUUAAUUCGGAUCUGGUGUCAAGUUAUCUACAACCGGACAUUAACAAAUUCACAUCUGCCUAUAACCGCAGGCACGGCUUUCGAAAGAUUAUACCCUGCAGGGGUGUCCCAACUUAGCCCAUGAUAAGCUCUCGCGAUCAACGAAGGAUAUACCUUCUCCCAGGAAGACCCGAUCAGACUCGGAAUCCCGGUUUACAAGACAUUUCGAUAAUGGUAAAACAAGACCAGCAAAGCCUCCUGCUGUGCUGACAAAUCCCGAUAGGAGCUGCACAUAUCUCGUUCUCAGGGCACACCGGAUGAGCCAGACGUCGGGUUGGCAUAGACCCUGAUUGCCCAGGGGCGCCGGACAUCGCUCGGUUUGGACCAACACUUAGACAAGCACUGGCCCAGGGGGAUAAAAUAAAGAUGACCCUCGGGAUGCGCGACUCCCAAGGGAAAAAGGGCUAGGUGAGGCAAAUGGUAAAACCAAUGUUGGGCCUUGCUGGAGGAGUUUUAUUCAAAGCGAACUGUCAAGGGGGUCCCAUAAAUCACCCGACCGUGUAAGGAACGCAAAAUCCGGGAACAUAAUACCGGUAUGACGGAAACUAGGGCGGCAAGAGUGGAACAAAACACCAGGCAUAAGGCCGAGUCUUCCACCCUUUACCAAGUAUAUAGAUGCAUUAAUAAUAUAAGAGAUAUUGUGAUAUCCCAACCAAAAUCCUGUCCGCCAUGGAGUAAUCUUCAACUUCACCUACAACUAGCAACGCUAUAAGAGGGGCUGAGCAAAGCGGUAACAUAGCCAAACAACGGUUUGCAUAGGAAAGGUGUCAAAGGUUAGAGGUUCAUGUCAAUAUGGGAGGCUUGAAGAACAUGUGAUAGGUAGCGCAGCAUAGCGAUAGAACGAAACAGCUAGCAUAGCAAUGAUAGUAGUGAGAUCCAGGGUAGCGGUCAUCUUGCCUGAUAUCCCGCAAGGAAGAAGAACGGGUCCAUGAAGAAUAUGAAGCCACGAAGAGGAACCAAGCAUAGACGAACGAAUCCUCACGAUCGCAACGAAACGGGAACUAUCGAGAAGAAGCACACUACAUAGUAAACACACCACACAUGAACAAGGCAUGAUGCACAACAAGCAUGAUGCAUGACAAGGCUACAUGAAGCUACUCAUGGCAAGAGAUGUUGCAAACAAGAACAACACAUCAAGGCAAGUUUAAAUGAGGCCGGAAGCAACAUAUAACAAUACCGGUAAGUCCUCAUAUGCAUAUUUCGAAAUUGGUCCAGAUCUGAAUAAACCUUAUGUUCAAGUUGUUAAAUAGCAAGUUAAGAUGCACAAAGAUGAUCUACACGAGAUUCUAGUCAAGUUACAUAUAAAGUUCAUUUAGUUCGGAGCUACGGCCUAGAAGAUAUGAGCAAAACAAGUUAAACAUGGCAUUGAUGCAAAAUGCACCCAAACAUCAAGCAAACACACCGAAACAAGGAUUCAACAUGAUAAUAUGAAGCUACAUUCAUAAUCAAGCAAGUUUCAUAUAGAGCACACUCAAACCGGAGCAACGGUUCAACACACACUCUAUACAAGUUUAAAGGACAAGCUGUCCAAAACAGCAACUAGGCAUAUUGCAAGCACCAAAACGACAUGCUACAGCACCUCAACAUAAUAACAAAAGGCAUGGGCAUGAUGUACAGGUAAAGCACAACAAAACAUAAACACUGAGCUAUCUCCAGAAAUCACUAGAACAUGCUCAAACACACAUGGCAAGAUUGCAAAUAAUAACAAUUCAGACUUUGCAGAAAAUAACAUCAGGUUGCAAUGUUUAGAGCUAUCAAACAACAUGUUACAGGAACUUAUAAUGGCAAAAAAAGGCAUGGCAUGAAUCUACUAAUUUCAUAGGUCAAAAGUCCUUUACUGACCAUAAGCCAAAAAGGAUCAGAAAAUAUGAUGGCACCCAUGUAAACAUAGCAAGUUAUAAUACAGAUUCAUACAUGGCAGGAACAUAAUUAUGAAGGCAUAUAGAUGAGCUUGUGCAACUCACUACAGAGCAAAACAUGGCAUGGCAAGGCAACCAACAGUAAUAAGGCAUGUUUGUGAAGCUAAGCAUGGCAAGAGCAAGUUCAUAGGGUGCAUGGAACACUAGGAAAACACAUGGCAACAACUGAACUUAAUGUUAACAGGCUGACAGCAACAUUAUGAAGCAACUUUGGAGCAAGAUAUGAACAAGCUACAGCAAGCUAUAAUUGCAACCAGGGGCAUGAAUGGAUAUAGCAUGACAUGUAGAUCAAAACAUAUUUAGUGAUCAUCUCCAGAUUAUGCAUAGAAUGAUUUGUAGAAGAAGGUUUACAUAGCAUCACGAAAUAACAGAUUCAGCCUAUCAAAACAGCAACAUCAAGUACCCUACUUAACAAGCUCGAUUCACUCACCACAAGUUAUUGCAUGACAAGAUAAGCAUAGCAUCAUCAAGAAGACAUGUUUAUGUAACCAACCAAGUCAAGAACAAGUCCAUAGCAUGCAAGGAUCAACUACAACAACCUUGGCCAAAUUGAAUAACAUGUAAACAAUCUGCCAGGAAACAUUUUGAAGCAAAAGUAGAGCACGAAAAUGACGUGCUAUACUACUCCAUAAUUGCAAACAGGGGCAUGAAUGGAUAGACAAUAACCACAUGUUCAAAACACCCUUACUGAAGUAUCUCAAAAUAUGCAUGGAUCUCUCUGUAGCAUCAAGUUUACAUGGCCUCAAAAUAACAGCAGAACAGGGACUAAAACCAGCAACAUCACGAUGCCUAGUUUGCAUGCUUGUGCUAGUCACCACAUUGAUCACAAAAAUACAUGGUAAGCACCUCUGUAAAGAAGACAUGGCAUAGUUCAAAACACAUGUAGACAUCAACCUCAAAGGAUGCACACAUCAAUCAUGGCAAAAAUGACAAAAGAGCUCGUUCUGAUAACAGACAGCAGAAAACAUUAUGAAACAUCUCUUGCAACGAUGAUUUAGGCAUCUAGAUGACCUCAAAUGAAUAUGAUGCAAUGGAAUGAAAUGAUGUACUCGUUGAGGCGAAUAAUUUGACAUAUUAUACGCAAGAAACGGAGCUACGGAUGCAGAGAUACNNNNNNNNNNNNNNNNNNNNNNNNNNNNNNNNNNNNNNNNNNNNNNNNNNNNNNNNNNNNNNNNNNNNNNNNNNNNNNNNNNNNNNNNNNNNNNNNNNNNNNNNNNNNNNNNNNNNNNNNNNNNNNNNNNNNNNNNNNNNNNNNNNNNNNNNNNNNNNNNNNNNNNNNNNNNNNNNNNNNNNNNNNNNNNNNNNNNNNNNNNNNNNNNNNNNNNNNNNNNNNNNNNNNNNNNNNNNNNNNNNNNNNNNNNNNNNNNNNNNNNNNNNNNNNNNNNNNNNNNNNNNNNNNNNNNNNNNNNNNNNNNNNNNNNNNNNNNNNNNNNNNNNNNNNNNNNNNNNNNNNNNNNNNNNNNNNNNNNNNNNNNNNNNNNNNNNNNNNNNNNNNNNNNNNNNNNNNNNNNNNNNNNNNNNNNNNNNNNNNNNNNNNNNNNNNNNNNNNNNNNNNNNNNNNNNNNNNNNNNNNNNNNNNNNNNNNNNNNNNNNNNNNNNNNNNNNNNNNNNNNNNNNNNNNNNNNNNNNNNNNNNNNNNNNNNNNNNNNNNNNNNNNNNNNNNNNNNNNNNNNNNNNNNNNNNNNNNNNNNNNNNNNNNNNNNNNNNNNNNNNNNNNNNNNNNNNNNNNNNNNNNNNNNNNNNNNNNNNNNNNNNNNNNNNNNNNNNNNNNNNNNNNNNNNNNNNNNNNNNNNNNNNNNNNNNNNNNNNNNNNNNNNNNNNNNNNNNNNNNNNNNNNNNNNNNNNNNNNNNNNNNNNNNNNNNNNNNNNNNNNNNNNNNNNNNNNNNNNNNNNNNNNNNNNNNNNNNNNNNNNNNNNNNNNNNNNNNNNNNNNNNNNNNNNNNNNNNNNNNNNNNNNNNNNNNNNNNNNNNNNNNNNNNNNNNNNNNNNNNNNNNNNNNNNNNNNNNNNNNNNNNNNNNNNNNNNNNNNNNNNNNNNNNNNNNNNNNNNNNNNNNNNNNNNNNNNNNNNNNNNNNNNNNNNNNNNNNNNNNNNNNNNNNNNNNNNNNNNNNNNNNNNNNNNNNNNNNNNNNNNNNNNNNNNNNNNNNNNNNNNNNNNNNNNNNNNNNNNNNNNNNNNNNNCCCCGGUGGGCCGCGGGAGGCGACGCGGGCAGGAGGCGCUGGGGGGGACACGCGGCGGCGGCGGAGGAGGCCGGAGGCCACGUGGCGGGAGCUGGUUGGCUGCGUGGGCGAGGGCGGACGUGUCCGGCUGCGGCUGGAUGCGUCCGGCGGUGGAGAGGGAAAAUCUAGGGUUUCAUCUGCGAAUUCAUCCGCGAAUUUCGGGGGAGGGGCUAGUUUUAUAGGUAGAGGGAGCUAGGAGAGUCCAAAUGAGGAGCGGUUUUCGGCCACGCGAUCGUGAUCGAACGAUCGAGAGCAUGGAGGGGAGUUAGAUGGGUUUUGGGCCACUUUGGAAGGGGUGUUGGGCUGCAAAGAGAGAGGGGCUUUACGGUUACCCGGUUAACCGUUGGAGUAUCAAACGGACUCCAAAUGGCACGAAACUUGACAGGCGGUCUACCGGUGCUAUACCAAGGCCACUUGACAAGCCUCGGUCCAUUCCGAGAACGUUUAACACCCACUCACAACAAGAGACAAAAGGGGGACGCCGGAGGACAUAGGAGCGCCGGAUUGCAAAACGGACAACGGGGAAAAGGCUCGGAUGCAUGAGACGAACACGUAUGCAAAAUGAAAUGCAUAUGAUGACAUGGUAAAAUGCAACACGCAAGCAAAUGACAUGGCAACGAUGGCGAAUAACUGGCAGACACCUGGCGCAUCGAAUCCGGGGCGUUACAACACUCCUCCACUAACAAGAGAUCUCGUCCCGAAAUCUUAGGACCGAGACGGAAGGGAAAAGGGCUGAGGUGAAGCAAGAACUCAAGAGAAGAAGAAAAGAAUCGAGAGCACUCGAGAAGAAGAGAGGAACGACGAGAAUGACAAGCAUCGAAAGCUCACGGAAUCAGAUAGACUAUGAAAGCACUCCAGUUGAAAAUGGAAGGAAUAGAACAGGAACUUCGCAAGAUGGAAUGACACUUGACGAAGACAUGACACAAAACCUCCGGAAAGAAUUGAAAGAAUUGAAUGAAACGAACUUAAAAGGAAGGAUUGACUGGAGUUGUUGAGAAAAUCAACAACGAAAAAAUAAGCUUGUCGUGGACUUAUGGAUAACAUCUCAGAAAUUAUGAGGUGAUAACCAGCCGCAACCUGAAAUGAUUGGAUAACUUAGAAGAACGAAGAAAUGCAAAACUCCACUUCAGAAGAAAACGGAGAAUUAUUUGCACUACGAGACACGAGAAGAAAAGAUACUUGAACUCCACCGACAAGAAUCUUGAUGAACUCUUGAACAAUGAAUUAAAUCAUGACGAGCCACCGUGAAUAACUCCGGUAACAAAAGGAUGAUGAAAUAGAAUGAAGGAUGAAAGAAUAAAAAUUCAAGCCUUGCGAUGAUUUAGAUGGAGGUUCUGACGAAAUGGCCGAGGAAAUUCGAACUCCGAGAAAAGAAAAGAUGAAGACACUUGGAACUAGAAUUUAUUCAUCGCGAACAAACUCCGGAGGAAGGGAUUACUCACUAGUUUGAAAUAAGAAUAAGAUUUAUUGUAUGCUUAUCCUUCAUCAAAAUAAAUUGAUGACAAGCAAUGGAAUUUGCAUACUACUUAUUCUUCUUGAAAAGGAUUAAGAAGGGAAAGCACAAAACUUGAGAAAAUCUUCAUGAACCACCGGUAGGAUUGGAAAGAACGAAUGAAUUAAAAUGAUAAUCAAGGAAAAAAAUCUGAAUGAACCACCGUAAGAAUUCGAAAAUUGAAUGACGAAAGAGAAUGAAUCACCAGGAAGAAUUAGAAUAACCAAUAAGCAAGAGGGGAUUUAGAUGCAAAAGAACAAAGAGAUCAUGAGCUGAUUAAAGAAUACUUGAACGAAGCACCGAGAUAAUUGGAUAACGGUAGCUGAAAUGAUGGCCUCCGGUGAAAAGAAAAAAGAAAACAACUCCUGAAAAACUCCGGAUGGUUAAGAAAAGGAAUACCUGACAAAUGGAAUAAUUUGAGAGGAUAAUAUGAAGCUAGAACCACGAAACUUCGAGAGAACGGGCAAGAUUUAGAGGAAAAGCUCUUCUUCGGUCUUCAAAAGACGACGAGAAACACCAACGAAAUUACUGAGAUACUCCGGGAGAAUGAAAAGCAGAGAGGUUGAGCCAACAAUGAAAAGAAUUUGAACGAGAUCUUGGAGAAGGCAUGUGACUGAUGGAAUCUAUUCUUACGUCACACUUGAAAAGAAUUGAGAAUAACUCCGGGGAAAUUAGAAGAGUCAGGUAAGAUCCUAGGAAAAGACCUGUGGGUUAGGGCCCACUGAAGAGAGAACACCGUUGGAAAGGAUUGUUGAAGAGAUAGAUGAUACACCGGAACAGUUGAAAUAUUUGAAUGAGGUGACAACCUCGAAUUAAUUCGAACACAGACGAACCUCCUGAGAUGUCUUGAACACUCCGGAAGGAUAAACUGGCGAGAGGCAAACGAGCAAGGAGAACACUUGAUUCAAGGAAAAGAAUGCGAUCAACACCGAAAAACUUGAAUUGAGUCCAUCGAAGAAGAGAUGAAGAAUGUCUAACAAGACGAGAAUUCACCGGUAGAAAUGAUUGAGGGAAGACUGAAGAGGCUCCGCACAAAUGAAAUAGAUAGUCGAGAGAGAGACAGACUCCGGUAAGAAANNNNNNNNNNNNNNNNNNNNNNNNNNNNNNNNNNNNNNNNNNNNNNNNNNNNNNNNNNNNNNNNNNNNNNNNNNNNNNNNNNNNNNNNNNNNNNNNNNNNNNNNNNNNNNNNNNNNNNNNNNNNNNNNCGAUCGGAAAAACCAACUGCGUGAUCCUAAAGAAAAUUUUUGAAGGGGAAGAGGAGUAAUUCAAAACACCUACGUCAAUAUUCCUUACCAGAGCGACGAAGGGGCUGAGGAGUAAAAAUAAUUCCUACUCUCCGAUAUAACUAGACUCCAAAAUAGUUUUCUUCUAGACUCAACAACGGCCAAACUACAUGAUCAAACAAGGGGGCUCCUAGGGUCGGUCGAGGCUCUGAUACCAACUUGUCACGCCCAAUAUGCGACCCUAUCCAAAAGGAACUCGAAGAUCCCACCAAGGAUAGACCCACAUAUUGAAACGCUUUUGCAAGGUGGAUAUCAUUACAUCAACAUUACAUAAUAGAUGGGGAUACAUACAAGAGGCAUACAAUGCCACAUGAAUACAACAUCACAAUACAUAAGAGCAUCAUCCGACUACGGAUGAAACACAAACAGAAACUCAAACGACAUCCACCCUGCUAGCCCAGGUUGCCGACUUGGAACCUAUCCCCUGAUCGAAGAAGAAGCAGAAGAAGAACUCCAAGACAAGCAAACAACGCUCUCGCGUCAAGAUCAUCGCACAACAUGUACCUGCAACUGUUGUUGUAGUAAUCUAUGAGCCACAAGGACUCAGCAAUCCCAUUACCAUGGGUAUCAAGACUAGCAAAGCUUAAAGGGAAAGGAAGGGGGUAAAGUGGUGAGGUUGCAGUAGCGGCUAAGCAUAUAUGGUGGCUAACAUACACAAAUAAGAGCGAGAAGAGAGCAAGCGGAACGGUCGUGAAGCUAGCAAUGAUCAAGAAGUGAUCCUGAACUCCUACUUAUGUCAAACAUAACCCAGAAACCGUGUUCACUUCCCGGACUCCGCCGAAAAGAGACCAUCACGGCUACACACGCGGUUGAUGCGUUUUAAUUCGGAUCUGGUGUCAAGUUAUCUACAACCGGACAUUAACAAAUUCACAUCUGCCUAUAACCGCAGGCACGGCUUUCGAAAGAUUAUACCCUGCAGGGGUGUCCCAACUUAGCCCAUGAUAAGCUCUCGCGAUCAACGAAGGAUAUACCUUCUCCCAGGAAGACCCGAUCAGACUCGGAAUCCCGGUUUACAAGACAUUUCGAUAAUGGUAAAACAAGACCAGCAAAGCCUCCUGCUGUGCUGACAAAUCCCGAUAGGAGCUGCACAUAUCUCGUUCUCAGGGCACACCGGAUGAGCCAGACGUCGGGUUGGCAUAGACCCUGAUUGCCCAGGGGCGCCGGACAUCGCUCGGUUUGGACCAACACUUAGACAAGCACUGGCCCAGGGGGAUAAAAUAAAGAUGACCCUCGGGAUGCACGACUCCCAAGGGAAAAAGGGCUAGGUGAGGCAAAUGGUAAAACCAAUGUUGGGCCUUGCUGGAGGAGUUUUAUUCAAAGCGAACUGUCAAGGGGGUCCCAUAAAUCACCCGACCGUGUAAGGAACGCAAAAUCCGGGAACAUAAUACCGGUAUGACGGAAACUAGGGCGGCAAGAGUGGAACAAAACACCAGGCAUAAGGCCGAGUCUUCCACCCUUUACCAAGUAUAUAGAUGCAUUAAUAAUAUAAGAGAUAUUGUGAUAUCCCAACCAAAAUCCUGUCCGCCAUGGAGUAAUCUUCAACUUCACCUACAACUAGCAACGCUAUAAGAGGGGCUGAGCAAAGCGGUAACAUAGCCAAACAACGGUUUGCAUAGGAAAGGUGUCAAAGGUUAGAGGUUCAUGGCAAUAUGGGAGGCUUGAAGAACAUGUGAUAGGUAGCGCAGCAUAGCGAUAGAACGAAACAGCUAGCAUAGCAAUGAUAGUAGUGAGAUCCAGGGUAGCGGUCAUCUUGCCUGAUAUCCCGCAAGGAAGAAGAACGGGUCCAUGAAGAAUAUGAAGCCACGAAGAGGAACCAAGCAUAGACGAACGAAUCCUCACGAUCGCAACGAAACGGGAACUAUCGAGAAGAAGCACACUACAUAGUAAACACACCACACAUGAACAAGGCAUGAUGCACAACAAGCAUGAUGCAUGACAAGGCUACAUGAAGCUACUCAUGGCAAGAGAUGUUGCAAACAAGAACAACACAUCAAGGCAAGUUUAAAUGAGGCCGGAAGCAACAUAUAACAAUACCGGUAAGUCCUCAUAUGCAUAUUUCGAAAUUGGUCCAGAUCUGAAUAAACCUUAUGUUCAAGUUGUUAAAUAGCAAGUUAAGAUGCACAAAGAUGAUAUACACGAGAUUCUAGUCAAGUUACAUAUAAAGUUCAUUUAGUUCGGAGCUACGGCCUAGAAGAUAUGAGCAAAACAAGUUAAACAUGGCAUUGAUGCAAAAUGCACCCAAACAUCAAGCAAACACACCGAAACAAGGAUUCAACAUGAUAAUAUGAAGCUACAUGCAAAAUCAAGCAAGUUUCAUAUAGAGCACACUCAAAAUGGAGCAACGGUUCAACAGACACACUAUACAAGUUUAAAGGACAAGCUGUCCAAAACAGCAACUAGGCAUAUUGCAAGCACCAAAACGACAUGCUACAGCACCUCAACAUAAUAACAAAAGGCAUGGGCAUGAUGUACAGGUAAAGCACAACAAAACAUAAACACUGAGCUAUCUCCAGAAAUCACUAGAACAUGCUCAAACACACAUGGCAAGAUUGCAAAUAAUAACAAUUCAGACUUUGCAGAAAAUAACAUCAGGUUGCAAUGUUUAGAGCUAUCAAACAACAUGUUACAGGAACUUAUAAUGGCAAAAAAAGGCAUGGCAUGAAUCUACUAAUUUCAUAGGUCAAAAGUCCUUUACUGACCAUAAGCCAAAAAGGAUCAGAAAAUAUGAUGGCACACAUGUAAACAUAGCAAGUUAUAAUACAGAUUCAUACAUGGCAGGAACAUAAUUAUGAAGGCAUAUAGAUGAGCUUGUGCAACUCACUACAGAGCAAAACAUGGCAUGGCAAGGCAACCAACAGUAAUAAGGCAUGUUUGUGAAGCUAAGCAUGGCAAGAGCAAGUUCAUAGGGUGCAUGGAACACUAGGAAAACACAUGGCAACAACUGAACUUAAUGUUAACAGGCUGACAGCAACAUUAUGAAGCAACUUUGGAGCAAGAUAUGAACAAGCUAAAGCAAGCUAUAAUUGCAACCAGGGGCAUGAAUGGAUAUAGCAUGACAUGUAGAUCAAAACAUAUUUAGUGAUCAUCUCCAGAUUAUGCAUAGAAUGAUUUGUAGAAGCAGGUUUACAUAGCAUCACGGAAUAACAGAUUCAGCCUAUCAAAACAGCAACAUCAAGUACCCUACUUAACAAGCUCGAUUCACUCACCACAAGUUAUUGCAUGACAAGAUAAGCAUAGCAUCAUCAAGAAGACAUGUUUAUGUAACCAACCAAGUCAAGAACAAGUCCAUAGCAUGCAAGGAUCAACUACAACAACCUUGGCCAAAUUGAAUAACAUGUAAACAAUCUGCCAGGAAACAUUUUGAAGCAAAAGUAGAGCAUGAAAAUGACAUGCUAGACUACUCCAUAAUUGCAAACAGGGGCAUGAAUGGAUAUACAAUAACCACAUGUUCAAAACACCCUUACUGAAGUAUCUCAAAAUAUGCAUGGAUCUCUCUGUAGCAUCAAGUUUACAUGGCAUCAAAAUAACAGCAGAACAGGGACUAAAAACAGCAACAUCACGAUGCCUAGUUUGCAUGCUUGUGCUAGUCACCACAUUGAUCACAAAAAUACAUGGUAAGCACCUCUGUAAAGAAGACAUGGCAUAGUUCAAAACACAUGUAGACAUCAACCUCAUAGGAUGCACACAUCAAUCAUGGCAAAGAUGACAAAAGAGCUCGUUGUGAUAACAGACUUCAGAAAACAUUAUGAAGCACUCUUGCAAUGAUGAUUCAGGCAUCUAGAUGACCUCAAAUGAAUAUGAUGCAAUGUAAUGAAAUGAUGUACUCGUUGAGAUGAACAAUUUGACAUAUUACACGCAAGAAACGGAGCUACGGAUGCAGAGAUACGGCAUGACGAACAUGGCAUGAAAAUACUGGAAUCUGGGGACAGCAGAAUUUAGACCUCCGAAAACUGGACGAGGGGAUCCCGCGGGACGAGGCGGUGCCGCGGGCUGUUUGGAUCGGGGCUCCGGCUGGGAAGGGACGAGGGCAUCCCGGCGCGGGGUCGAGGACGACCGGCGGCGCCGGCAUGCUCGACGACGGCGGGUGGUGCUCCGGUCCUCCGGAGAGGAGCGGGAGCUGAGGAGAGGCCGUGGGUGGCCGGAUCCAUCGAACCCCGGACAGAACCGACGCCCGGACGGNNNNNNNNNNNNNNNNNNNNNNNNNNNNNNNNNNNNNNNNNNNNNNNNNNNNNNNNNNNNNNNNNNNNNNNNNNNNNNNNNNNNNNNNNNNNNNNNNNNNNNNNNNNNNNNNNNNNNNNNNNNNNNNNNNNNNNNNNNNNNNNNNNNNNNNNNNNNNNNNNNNNNNNNNNNNNNNNNNNNNNNNNNNNNNNNNNNNNNNNNNNNNNNNNNNNNNNNNNNNNNNNNNNNNNNNNNNNNNNNNNNNNNNNNNNNNNNNNNNNNNNNNNNNNNNNNNNNNNNNNNNNNNNNNNNNNNNNNNNNNNNNNNNNNNNNNNNNNNNNNNNNNNNNNNNNNNNNNNNNNNNNNNNNNNNNNNNNNNCGAGCGCAGGGGCCAACGAGUGGCGGCGGUGGAGGAGGCCGGAGGCCACGUGGCGGGAGCUGGUUGGCUGCGGGGGCAAGGGCGGACGUGUCCGGCUGCGGCUGGACGCGUCCGGCGGCGGCGAGGGAAAAUCUAGGGUUUCGUCUGCGAAUUCAUCCGCGAAUUUCGGGGGAGGGGCUAGUUUUAUAGGUAGAGGGAGCUAGGAGAGUCCAAAUGAGGAGCGGUUUUCGGCCACGCGAUCGUGAUCGAACGACCGAGAGCAUGGAGGGGAGUUAGAUGGGUUUUGGGCCACUUUGGAAGGGGUGUUCGGGUGCAAAGAGAUAGGGGCUUUACGGUUACCCGGUUAACCGUUGGAGUAUCAAACGGACUCCAAAUGGCACGAAACUUGACACGCGGUCUACCGGUGCUAUACCAAGGCCACUUGACAAGCCUCGGUCCAUUCCGAGAACGUUUAACACCCACUCACAACAAGAGACAAAAGGGGGACGCAGGAGGACAUAGGAGUGCCGGAUUGCAAAACGGACAACGGGGAAAAGGCUCGGAUGCAUGAGACGAACACGUAUGCAAAAUGAAAUGCACAUGAUGACAUGGUAAAAUGCAACACGUAAGCAAAUUACAUGGCAACGACGGCGAAUAACUGGCAGACACCUGGCGCAUCGAAUCCGGGGCGUUACAGAGGACCUCCCACGCCAGCGCUCGGCCAGAGAUAACGGUGCGGCCGGCAGUGGGUCUCGUCCCUCGCUGUCGACGAUAGCCUAAAUGCUGCCGCUCCUCCCCUUCACCGGUGGAGGGGGAUACGUCCGGAUCUGUAACCAGCGGUGAGGAUAGAAAGCCAGUGUUUUUUGAAGGAAGAAAGACAGGGUCACUACCCCUAUCUUGUUUAGAUCUAGAGAGGAUGAGAGUGUGUGAAUAGAGUGGCCCUAGCAAGCAAGCGCGGAGGCUCCGGCCUAUAUAUAAGUAGUGGGGUAGUUUUCCUUUUUCACUCCAUCAAAACAAUCGUUUAAAAUUGUGUACUAUACUACAUGCCAGGUCGCGGUUUUUUUUAGUUGUUGAUUGUUUUUUGAGAUAGCUACCCGCUUGUUCCAAGUGGUGUUAUGGUGUGCCAGGUCGCACUCUAUAUCAUUCAAGUCUGGUAGUACUACAAGUCCCUCCAUUAAAUGAACAGCCACCCCCUCAUAAAAAUUGUGAACAAGCCCAUGGCUAAAAUUAGCGGAAACGUGGGUUGCCCCAACAUGCAUUAUUAUUUAUAUUUUCUACUCCCUCCGUUCCUAAAUAUAAGUCUUUUUUAUUAGCCACACCUAAGACAAGAAUUUUUUUAUUAGCAGUGAACCCCACAUGUCAUAGACACAAAAAUUGUGGCAAGAUUCCCUUAGGCAAGCCAAAGUGUGUCUAACAAUUUGAGCAACUCAGGUUAGGCAAGUGUGGCAAGUGUGGGAAAAAUAAUGUGGCAACAUAAGACAAACAUAGUCAUAAUCCAAACAGCCCCGUGAUUUUUUGUGACAUGCAUGAAAAUUUGGUUAGUUAAAUUUAUAGUCAAAAUUUGGCAAGGUGCAUCAAAUCAACACAUGCAAGUAUCAAAAGGAAAGUCAUGGCAUGCAUGCAUGCGUUGUACUCCCUCUGUUUCCAAAUAUAAGUCUUUUUAGAGAUUGCAACAAGUGACUACUCCCUCCGUUCCUAAAUGUAAGUCUUUUUAGGGAUUCCACUAUAAACUACAAAUGGAUGUAUAUAGACAUAUUUUAGAGUGUAGAUUCACUCAUUUUGUUUCGUAUGUACUCCAGUUCAUAGUGAAAUCUCUAAAAAGACUUAUAUUUUGGAAUGGAGGGAGUACAUACGAAGCAGAAUAUGUCUACUCCUACAUACGAAGUAGCCCAUUUGAAAUGUGUAAAAAGAGUUUUAUCGAAUGCAGUGCUUUGAUGUGUCGCGUCAACUCGUACAAGCCCGAGAAAUUUGAUUACUACGACGCCCUCUCCCUCGUGAGCUGAGCUCUGGUGCCUUAACUGCACCUGUCUUUGGCUGCAUGACAGGUGGGCCAACCACCUGUUGGGCCCACCUGUCAUGGAUGCAAAGGCAGGAGCAGUAAGUAGAAGCUUUCGCUACACGCUAUCCCUCCCGCAUGAGGUGGACGGACAUGCAGCAGUGGAUUCGAUACUAUAGAAGUAGGAGUAACAUUAUUGUUCAUCUUCUCGAAGAGGCGAAGAGCCAAGUGCAAACCGAACGUGGCAGUUGCGAACGCUCGCGUGGUGCGGUUCCUUGGAGUACUAGCCAGGCUCUUGCAUGAGACAAAAUUGCUAUUGUUUAACAAUUAAACUCCAUUGUCCAUUGGUUGAUACUCAUUCUGCAUAGGUCCACACGCUUAGCACCGUUUCCUCCUAGGGUCACCAAUGUUUAUUAGCUAAUUAAUAGCAUUCCAUGCAAUGAACUAGCCAUUGCAAGUCAUUAAAAGCAUGCACACCUCUCAUCUCUUAUUGGUUGAUACGUAUGUCAAGAAACAAAAAACAAGGUAGAAGUUAAUGCACUGCGCCUAAGUGUUUUGGGACUAUUUGGUUUUUGUAAGAUGACUUACACACCUAGACAGAGGGAGUACUAUAGACCUGUAAACCAGAAAGGAGUAUUUGCCUUUCUAGAGAUUUCAACAAGUGACUAGACUUUGGCUCAAAAAAAACAAGUGACUAGACUACACCGUGUGCAGUACCCCCUCCCCUCCGGUUUAUAGGGCUCAAAUCUCAAAUCUCAUGAACCAAGGGAUUUUGCGAUUGGAGGAAUGUAUCUCGUACUUUACAAAACUACCCUAAUUAAACUCAUGCAUUAAUUACGUAGUUCUCUCAUUUUCCUCUCCGCCUUGGUCGCGGUGCACAAUAUUGAGGCUAGCCAUAGUGGGAGUAACUUAGGUAGUAACUUAACACAUCCCAAGACAAUUUUGCUUAUGUGGCAAGUAUUUAAUGAGGAAAGAGGUGCUUGUGGUAACAUAAUAUGUUACUGUAACAUAGCGCUUUCCGAGGCAAAAUGAGUCUAUGAGAUAAUAAAUGAAGCAAUCUAUGAUACUACUACUAUGUUACUUUGCACUGUGGAGGUAGUAACUUACACUAGUAUGCAUGACACUAGUCUAAGUUACUCCCCACUAUGACCAGCCUGAGAGAGUGCUUUGAUACGUUUUAGUCUCAUGACUAAAAGUAGUGGGACUAAAACUUGUUAGCCUCAUCCAUGCUUGGAUCCAAAUACUAAAGAGACUAAAAUCAAGUUAAUGACAUUUCAAAGCAUCCGGGCUCGCGUGCCAUCCACCAAAUCACAGCGAGGUGCUACAGUCGAGACUCACCUGUCACCCCGGUGUGACUGUCAUGACCCGUCAUAUCACAAAACCCACACCUUUACCAGUAGUGGUAAGGUGGCCUCCAAGUUGGACUGGACGAAGCAACCAUCAUUUCAUUGGAACGCUCGUUCAAGCCAUUUCUUCCCUUUCUUGAAGAAAACCUUACUCCAGGCUACUCACUUAUGCCAUUUUUCUUCUCUACCGACGAAGGAAAGGUGGGCGAAUCAGUUAUGCUACUAUAUUUUCAUUCCAAUAAUCUUCUUUUUGCGAAGCACCGACCGAUUCUCACAUCCUAUUCUUUUCCCGUUUUCAUUGCGAUUGUGGUUUCCUUUCGAUUGCUUUUUGUUUAUCAGUUCAUUGAUGGAUACUGGAGCACUAGGCAAAGAGUUGCCGGCGGACAACCCACUGGAGACAGCGAUCUCCAGGAAGCGAGCACCGACCAACGAGUUGACCAAGUUGGCGGGCCAACCCAUGGAGACGAAGAACUCCAAGAAACAAGCACUGGCCAAAGAGUUGAGGAUGUUGGUGGACGAACUCCUCAAAGAAAGUUGGAAGAACAACAAGGACCCCACCGUGCCUACCCCAGGAGCUCUGAUUGCCACCUAUGUGAGGCUCAAGACCGAGUUUGAGGAGAUAGUCGCCGUUGAGAAACAGUAUUCCCCUGGCAAGGUGAUGGCCCCCAUCGAGGACGAGAAGAUGGCCCCCGGAGGGAUGAGAUCCCCCGGUGAGCUGCACAAGGUAAAAAAUAAUGGCUUAUUACCAUAGUUAUGGUUUAAGAUUAUUUGCAAUGUGCUUGCUUUUUGAUUAUUUGCAAUGUGCUUGCUAAUAUGUUAGUGUUGUGCAGGUGCCGGUGGUUGUCCUUGAUGAUUCCGAUGUCGUGGCCCGUCCUGUUGGCAUCGCCCCGGAGAUCGAUUCCGAUACCGCUGUCCAUCCUGUGGACAUCGCCCCAGAGAUCGAUUUUGAUGUCGCGGUCAGUCCUGUGGACAUCGCCCCAGAAAUCGAUUCCCAUGCCGCUAUCCGUGCUGUGGUCAUUGCCCGAGAGAUCGAUGACAAGAAAUAGUUGGUCGCGCUAAUCCUUCAGGGUAGUUUGCAUUGCCCUGUGUUUAAUUACCAGAACGAUGCGUGUUAUCAAACCAUCUUAGGGCUAGUGCACUGUCUUGUGUGGGCGGAUCUUGCUACUUUUGUUUGAUAGUGAAUCAUACGAUGAAUCAUGCGAACCCUCUCUGAGUUAUGGAAACAGAUGUAUCCUCACCAGCUUUUGAUGUAAUAUAUGGCAUGCUUAGAUGUAAAUUUGAACUGUUUAUCAUAUCAGCAGGGCUUGUUUGAUGAUUCUUGGUGUUAGUAGGCUAGCUACUGUGCGAGCUAUAGUACUUGCAAAACACUCACCGAAGAGAAAGGUUGGGGCUGAUGAGCUCGUGGUACGCUUAUACUUAUCCCUCGUUGAUCGACCAAUAGCCCUAGCUCCUAAAAUUGUAGGCUUAGCGAUCAAUCAGACAAUAGUCGACAUACAUUCAGGCCUCAUUUGGUUCAUAGGGUAGGAAAAUCGUAGCAAAAGUACAGAGAACGUGCAACACAAAAUCAUAGAAGUGCAGAGACGUACUCCCUCCGUUCCAAAAUAGAUGACCUAGGCGGGCUAGUUUGGCCUAGUGGGUUUCAGUGAUAUGACAUGGUACAGUGCCGUCCAGUCUUCGCGUGUGGUAGCAGUAUUGCGGGUACAGUAAGUUUUCUUGAAGAAGCAGAAUUCAACGAAGUCAUGAUGGUUCCUUCGUCCGAACAACUUACGGUGGGAAAAGGUUGGGCCUAUGAUACGACCGGGGUAGACCAGGAUAAUUUUGUGCAUGGCAGGUGGACCAGGUGGACCAAGAUGGUCGACGUCCCACAUGUCGGUGAAUGAAAGUAUUCUUUUCGAUAUAGAGGACGAGCAACGAGUAUUCAUUGUUUAUUUUUGACGAAAGCUAUUGUCUCCACUAUUACUCCUUGACUUUGUCAAUGCCUCUCUCUCCUCCACAUAAGCAGGGACUACUUGCUAUGCAUGCAGCGGGCAGCUGGCGUCUUGAGGGGCCAUGGCGGUGAGAGCGGGCUCCGGAAGCGGUCCGGACUCCAGCAUGGCCCACCUCACAUUAUCACCAUAUAUUUCUUGGAGUCCGUGUGCGGCGAGCGGGCGAUCUCUUCUCCCUCCCCCGUUUCUCUCUUCUCAGCUGACGCCCGCCGAGCGAUUAGAUUUCGGCUAUCAACGGUUUAUUCAAUUACGGUCCCACAUGUCAGUGAAAUUGCAAGACAACGCGUGUCCCCUUUGGUGAGCGGCGUGCGAGCCGGAUUGUCGGGGUUGCGAUGCGUACGAGUCGUAAGUGUGCCGCCUUUUCCUUUAGAACUUGCAAAGCGUAACAUUUUCGCGCGAUCUAUCGAUAGAAAUCCAGAACAAAAUGACGAGGGCGAUGCUUUCCCGCUCGUUAGGCGGGCUAGUUCGAGUGAUAUGAUGUGCUACAGUGCCGUCCACUUGCUCCAUUUUUAUGUAAGCAAGAGUUUACACUCGUACGCGGGAGGAGUGCGAAACACCGCGGAUCUGAUUCUGAUCGAGGGAUAACUGUUCCCUGCUAAAUAAUGGAGGAUUGUUAGCGAUUAUAGCAUGAUAGUUAGGGCAUCUCCAGCGCUGGCCCACAAAUUUACACCAGCAUCUGUCUGAGGACACUGAUGGAUGCCAUCCGAUGCUGCCCGCAUACCUUUCGACAACUAUAUGAACUAACCGGACGAAAUUCGUGCAAACAAAGCAAAUUUCAAAUUAACCGGAUGAAAUUCAUUACAUCUCGAAAACUUUUCCUACAAACUCGACGAAAUUCAUUACAUAUUUCACACAAACCGUACUAAACCUACUAUAAACCUAAUCUAAACGAUCACCGGCGCCUGACCACCAAGUCCGGUCAUGAACCCGAGAAAGCCGGCCAUUGCCUUUGCCUCCUCCUCAUCCGCCUCGAUAACCUCCUCCUUCGGUCGGAGCACAAGGUUAUGAAGAUUUCCGCCUCCACGUCGCCGUCAAGCGGCUAAUCGGUCGCCGAUGUUUACCCCACCAAGCUUGGCGUCGACUGAGUGGAGUAGCGGUGGCCUUCCCGGGACCAGAGCGGCGGCGACCUACCGUGUACUACUCUUCCUUGCUGCCGGCUUCGUGGUCGUGGCGGUGGAGGGUGGCCCGGGGGGUGCCGGCGAUCUCCUUUGUUUGCUCCUGCAAAAGUACGUUGAAGAGAGCUUUGAAGCGUGCCCGGAGCGGAGCCGCCGAUGUCCCUCGUCUGCUCCUGCGACAGUACGUCCAAGAGAGCUUCAGAGCGCCACGAGGCCAUUGUUGAAGUGGUGCCGACAGAAAGAAGGGACCGGAGGAGAAUAAGUGUGGGUCUUUGGCUAUGGCUGGGAGCUGGGGCUCAAGUUAAUAUAGCGGGCGAAUGGCAAUGAGCCGCGGCAGACGGAUGGACAACUGGCGCCGGAGUAGGUUCGUCGGGCGUGAAUGCGGAUGCUGCUUUAGUGACUUAACUACAGAUGUGUUUGGGUGACUGACAUGUGGGCCCAACGGGCGUCUGGCCCGCAUAUCAGUGACACACCAAUUGCACCUGCGGUUAAGUCCAGUGAAUGCGGCAUUGACAUUCUGGAGAGACGGUGACCAUUUCAGGCGCAUGUGGACUGUUUGACUGGUCAACCAUACAAAUACGGAGCUAUACGGUGAACCAGCGACCGUAUAAUCAUCAUAUCUCGUAUACAAUGAUCAAAGUGAGCUAUCAAGACAAGUUCGAUGACCGCCAAUGCAUUUUACUCGGUAAUAAAUGACCAGAAUUGAAGGGGGAUCCUAAUUUGCUUCAUCUUUUGUCCUUGAGCUCUUGACAAACCAAUGCACUAUACGGUUGUCCGGUCACUCCACCCCAGAGCUCUCACCAAGCGUCGUUCAUGCCACCGCGCCGCACACUAACCGAUAAGGCAGAGAUGGCAUCCCGCCGCGCCGAGUUCCUCGCUGCCCAUGAACGCACACAAAAUGGUAGGGAAGCGAUGGCAUCCCGCUGUGCCGAGUUCAUCGCCGCUCGCGACCUCACAACUAUGUGGGAGGAAUUUGAAGAUGCCAAGGUCAAAUGGGCGGUAGAGCAAGAGGCGGCCAAAGCCGCACAGAGGGAGCGGAAAAGUCAGAAAGCACUCAAGAAAAGAGAGGCCCGCCGCCGCAAGAAAGAAAAGGACGCACGCGCUGCUGCGGAGAGGUCGGCGGAGAUCCAAGCACGGUGGGGUGUCGCCGACAAAGCCGGGAAGGAGAACGACGGCGUCUGGCCAGCAUGUGAGAAGUAGUAGUACUAGUAGUUAGUGUGUGUGUCUGUGUCUGAGUACGAGCAUGUACCAGUACUACUAGUUACUACUGUAGUUUUUAGAGAAAAUUACCAGUACAUUAGCCUAGACUAAGUGGGAAAAUUCCUAUCCUAUGCAUCAAAUGGCAUCUCUUUCUCUAUAGGAAUUGAGAUGCAUGUCAUCUCACUUACUAUGAUUUUCAUAUUCCUAUCCUAUGAACGAAAGGAGGCCUUUGUUGGAGUAAAUAUUGUAGCUAGCAGUACUGCUGGUACAGUAGUUUUCUUCAAGAAGCGGAAUUCAACAAAGUCAUGAUGGUUCCUUCGUCCGAGCAACUUCAAAGUGGGAAGUGGGCCUGUGAUUUGAUGGCUCAUUAGUCAUUGUUACUGCGGCGCGACGACCUGGGUGACUCUCCCUUGGAGUUCUGCAUGCAUGGCAAGUGGACCAGGAUGGUCGACGUCCCACAUGUUGGCGAACGGAAGUAUUCUUUCCGAUAUCGAGGAGCAAGGAAACCGCGUGGUAUAGUAUCACUACUGAUUGGUUCGCAAAAAAAAUAGUAUCACUGCCGAUUUAUAAUUAUUUUUUAUUUAUAAUGCAUGCUAGCGUUUCAACUCUGACGACGAAGGGUGCCAAACACGGCACGUGCUGGAUGUCCCACACGUCACGAAAGGAGUGGGACAUGAACAGCGUGGUAGAGCCCAGCGUAAAAAAACAGCAUGGUAGAGCGUCUCCACUUCUUCCACUUCUGGGUCGGAGACCACACGUAGUAGUACUUAGAUGUAUGAACGAUACAAAGUGCGACCUGGAGAGAAAGACAUGUCUAGUUGGAAGGUCUCGGGGCAUACACGUAAACAAAUAUAAAAGUUAAUAUGUGCCUCCAACUAAUAUACUAGUAGUAGAGUACUUAGACAUGUACUCCAUAACAUCAUCGUGCAUUGCACGUACAACAUUUAGUGGUAGUACAUAGUAAAAGACAAAUGCCGCCCAAGAGUUCCCUUCUCGACCUACUUUUGGGUGUUUGGUAGAGUGUAUGGAGGGUGCAUGAGUCCAUACUAGUUUAGCACAAAUACACUAGAAGCAUGCAUGAAGAGAGAAUGCAUGAAAAGGGGUGUUGAGUUGAGCAUGCAUGAAGAGGGAACAACUAUGCUGAGACAAGAACGCAACCAAACACACCCUGUAUGCCACGCAUGUUCAUACCAUUUGUGCCUUUCUAUUUCACUUACUACACUACAUUACUCAGGUUCGUACGUCCACUCCUGGGUACAUGUCCGUCUCGUAGUUUUAGUGCCACGUGUUCUUCAUAUAGAUGGAACGAUCGUUGCAUAACACGUGCGCCUUGAUGCUAGAUGUCUCGCGUGUUGGCAAAAGGAUGAACAAAGCUCACGUAAAAAAUAGAGUGGAAGAACAUAGAUUCCGGACGACCGAGAAGAAGCAAGGAACCUCGUGGUGGAGCGUCUGCACUCAUAAUAUUUAAAUUAUUCAGUGAUAUAAAAUUAACCAAUCAUCUCCACAGUGGACUGGAGGAGUACGAAACACGACAGCCCAGUGUAGUUACAUCAUACUAGUACAUUGCUAACCCAUGCUAUCACCAUAUUUCUUGGCUUCCGUGUGACACCUAUCUCUAGUAAUCCAGCAGCCUGUAUCGCUUCUCCCUCCUCGUCUCUAUCAAAGUGCGGCGGGGUGGCGUUUCUGCCGUCUAUUGAGGUCGGUUAACUAUCACAUGUUAGCGACAUGCCAAGAGCAUUCUAAAAAAAUUCCUUUCACGUUCCGUUUUCAAAAAGAAAAAAAUCCUUUCACGUACGAAUUUGCCUGUAUGCUUUGAGCAACUUGCAUGUCCUAUACUGCUCCUGUUUGAUACUCUAACUUAGCUAGAGGUUAGACUAACUCAUGACUAACCCUGAACUAACUGUAGCGAAAGAGGUGUUUGGGUGACAGGGUUAGAUUGACAAUAAAUGCACUUCAUGGAGAGAGAAAAGUGAUUUUUCAGUGGUCCCAAUGAAAACUAUCUCCAGUUAGCACCUCUUGGGUGGGAUAGUUUUUUUUGGUGGGUUCGGUGCAACUUGCUCCAAUUUAAACCCUCAUGCUUGGAUACUUUAGGGCUAUUUGAGCCCCAACUAGCUCAAACUAACUCUAACCCAUGGAUCCAAACAGGGUCUAUGGCCAGUCUCGACGCGGAGCAGUCGCGUGCACCGGGAAGCGGCGCUCUCUCGGCCGUCGCGCCACUUCAAAGCCGGCGCCAGUGAGAGGUCACCUCCGCUCUGGCCGGGCAUUAAUGUGGCACUGACGCUCCAGGCGAUGCUGACCGUUUCAUGCGGGAAGCGCGCGCUGGCAAGGGAGUAUAGGUUUUGAACCGUUUCAGGUGUAGUAGUGAUGGUAGUUUGCAAAACUACUCAAUUAUUGCACUCAGUUUCCUAAGAAAUUGUGGUAAAAAACGUUACUCCACAGCCCGCUUCCCUUCUCCUUCUUGCUCGUGAUUUACGUGGCCAUGUUAACGUGGUUGUGUCAAAAAAAUGUCACUUCCUGCUCGUGAUUUGCGUUAUAUAAUUACAAGCAAGAUUCUCGUGCAUUGCACGGAACAUCAAUAUGCAUUUUUUUACAAAACACCUGUUGUGAUUGACCCAUGCAGGAGUAAUCCCAUGUGUAAAAACUAAUGAUAUCUCGAGCAUUUUAUCGGAAAACUGGUAUCUCGAGAAUGUCAUCAAAAAAAUGAAAGAUGAGAGAUAAGGCGAGGAGGAGUGGAGCGUGGUGGUGACUGGUGGUCGGAAUGGGCGGAGGCAUGGGGAUGGACGGCGCCGGCAGGCGGCAGCGGCCACCAUGCAUGCUAGAUUGUUCCAGAGACUUAUUCCUUUUUUAAUUGCUGAGCAAUGAGGUUGCGGGAGAUAAUGAUGUGGAGAGAGGUGCGGGUAUCUUUUGUAAAAUUAUCAUAGUUUGCUUCCUAUCCGUCAGAUAUAGAUCAUACGGUCUGUAUUACAAGAUGGCAGGCACACCAUCAUCGCCAACUCGUUUUUUUAUAAGGGUAUACAGAUGAUAAGUUUGCUGACUACUAAAGUAAAGUGGAAUCUGUCCAUGUUAUGCAAGUAAAUAAAGGUGAUUGUUUAUCAUACGGGUAAGGUUGGAUGAAGGGUGGUAGGAACAAAUGCUCUGCCUAGAGCAUGUGUGUGUGAGAUGGAGUCUUAGUGUGUGUGGUGUGUGUGUGUGUGUGUGUGUGAUAGAGAGAGAGAGAGAGGAGAGAGAGAUGGAGUCUUAGUNNNNNNNNNNNNNNNNNNNNNNNNNNNNNNNNNNNNNNNNNNNNNNNNNNNNNNNNNNNNNNNNNNNNNNNNNNNNNNNNNNNNNNNNNNNNNNNNNNNNNNNNNNNNNNNNNNNNNNNNNNNNNNNNNNNNNNNNNNNNNNNNNNNNNNNNNNNNNNNNNNNNNNNNNNNNNNNNNNNNNNNNNNNNNNNNNNNNNNNNNNNNNNNNNNNNNNNNNNNNNNNNNNNNNNNNNNNNNNNNNNNNNNNNNNNNNNNNNNNNNNNNNNNNNNNNNNNNNNNNNNNNNNNNNNNNNNNNNNNNNNNNNNNNNNNNNNNNNNNNNNNNNNNNNNNNNNNNNNNNNNNNNNNNNNNNNNNNNNNNNNNNNNNNNNNNNNNNNNNNNNNNNNNNNNNNNNNNNNNNNNNNNNNNNNNNNNNNNNNNNNNNNNNNNNNNNNNNUGUGUGUGUUUGUGUGUGAGAGAGAGAGAGAGAUGGAGUCUUAGUGUGUGUGGGGGGGUGUACGUGCGUGCGUGUGUGUGUGUGUGUGUGUGUGUGUGUGUCCCGGGGUCCUCUGUGGCGGAUGUAAUUUAAGUGUGCAUGGCUUCAUCAUAGAGAGGUGAUGUGUAUGGUAGAGGCCACCAACGAUGGGGUGCAAGAGAGAAAAUGCCCGUAGGAGGGAAGAGAAGGUGCGUGCGCGUGAGAGGAGUCGACAUAGAGAGAACGUGUUUGUUCGAGAGACACCACGGAAGACUACUAUAUAUCGAUGGUGCAUGUAGGCGGGAAUUAAACAAAGGGAUGGUCUUAUUGGUUUCGGGGAUAUAGGAGAAGAGUCAGAGGCGCGCGGGGCGGGGGGUAGCUAGAAGGAGAUUGUUAAGUGUGAGUGUGUGUUUUGCCCAUCCAGGCGGAAGUUAUGUGCACAAAAGAGGAGAAAGAUUCGAUGUGGCGUUAGGAUUGAGGGUAAUUAACUACGUAUGGAGACAUAGAGACCUUGAACGUGCAUGUGUGAGAGGUAUACAUGUAUACGUGGGAUGUGUGUGUGUGCGCGCGGGCAUGAUCGAGAUAAAAGAAAGAAGACAUAAGUCCUAAGAUCAACGACAUGGGAGAGACGGAUCGGUAUGACAAUAUGCAUGCAUGUGAGAAUGCAGGGAAGAAGGCCCGACAAUUGAGCAUGUGUUUUUUUCUUUAAGAGAUAGUGGCGUGGGCUGGAGCAUGCAUCUAUGGUGAGCAGAGGGGGUGAGGCGCAACGAUUGUGCAAAAGAGAUCAACCUAUAAAUGCAUAUGUAUGGAUAGACAUAUAUAGUGUGGGUGAUAGGAAGCAAGACUCCGUGCGAGAAAGAAAUGUUGACGGAGAAACUACAGAUAGAUACAGAGAUGGAGAUGCUAGCUAGAGAGACAUCUGUUAGUUUGGGUGUCGGAGAUGACCGUCGGGUGGUUCAAAGGGUGAAGUUAUAUAUGUGUGUGAGAGGGCACUUGACUGCAUGCAUGUAGAGAGAAACAUAUGUAGUGUGCGUGAUAGGAAUCAAGAGUGAGGGCGAGAAAGAAGGUUGAUGGAGAAACAGAUAAAUAGAAAGAUAAAGAUGCUAGCUAGUGUGCGCUAGAGAUAGGAGUCGAGUGGAUCAGAAGGUUGGGUUAUGUGUGUGGGUGUGAGAGAGAUAGAGAGAGGGUGCAUGCGAGUCACAUACAAACAAAUAUCAGAGAGAAAUGAGAUCCAGAGAGACGGAGUUUUGUGUUUGUGAGAGAGAAAGAUAUUUCACAACGAGAGUGAUAGCUAGAGAGACAUAUGAGGGAACGCAAGACAUCUCUAGGGAGAGAGGGUGUGUUUGAGCGACAUACAAGAGAACAAUGGAGAAAUAUGAGACCCUGGGAGACAGAGUUUGUGUUUGUGUGUGAGAAAGAGAUAUUGAAGAGGAAGAGUCGUAGGUUCUCAUAUCUAAGGAGCGAAAAACAUCUCUGUAUGAGGGGUGUAUGAGUGGCACACAUGGGAAUAGUUGAGAGAAAUGACACCCCGGGAGACAAAGUUUUGUGUUUGUGUGAGAGAAAGAGAUUCCACAUGGAGAAUCAUAGCUGGAGACACAUAGCAGGGAGCGAGAUAUACUUAGAGAGAGAUAGAGUGAUGAAGGUUGAUGGAGAGAGUAUCGUCAGUGUGUUACGAAGAUAAAAGAUCAUUGUCGACAUACAGGUAGCACGAGAGAUGCCUGAGAGACGAUGAACGCGUAUAGGUCCAGAGAGAUAGUCUUAUAUAAGCAUGAGUGAUAGCUAUAUGAGACGAAUAUCUGGAUUAAAGGGGAUUCAAACAUUUAAACUGGAGAUCAUGACAUCGAUAAUAUCAUAACGCAAAUUGGUGUAUCAAACAUGCAUAUUCAUUUGAAUUUGGGUACACGUGUAAUGUUAUAUAGUUUAUCAAUAUUGGUGAUCCAUAGAUUCUUCAAUUACAAACAAUGCAUGGUUUAUAUGCAAUUAGUGUCUAAACGGGAUUACACUAUAUGUUGCGUGUGUGAAACACAUUAUACAUGUUUGAGAAGUUAAAAAAAACCACAUGAAACACACAUUAAUUGGAGACAGUUAGCGAGGAAUGCAUACAUUGGAUUUCAACAUAAAGUGGUUUCAAAUAUUUGAAAAUCCAAAUUGAUGGAUACAACCUUAUGAAUCUGAGAUCAUGCCAUUUGUAAACCAUAUUUACGUAUAAAUGGUGUUGUGCUUUUGAAAGUAUAUAUGUAAAAAAAUGAUGUAUAUAGAAUGUAAUUCCAAUUGAAAAUGGAUCCCGCUCGAAAAAAAUAGUAGAAUACAAACGGGAUUCAAAUUGAGUUGGCACGGUAAACGUGCAUUGUGCAAAAUUUGAAUGAAGCAGGGAAAGUCGCAGUAACCGCCCGAAACCAAAAUCUGCGAGAUGGAAAUCACUACUACCUAUCCCUGCCGUGCAAAGCCUAUCUGCUGGAUUUCUAUAGGUUUCGAUAGGGGUAGGUUUGUAAUUUCACCAAAACAUGACGUAACCACCUCUCACCCGGAUUCAUACACGGUGGGCGCCAAAACACAGUGUGCCCUCGGCCGAAAUCGACUCCCUUCCCGAUUCAUAUUCAUACACGGUGGGCGCCAAAAACAAACUCUCGUCGGCAAAUAUUCGGUGUAUGCGAGAUUACCUUUCUAUCCCCAACCGACUAAUGCUGUUGUGAUGUAGUAGAAAUUUGAAACGGGGGCUAAGUUUGUAAAUUUUCUUGCAUUUGAGACAAGCGCGCCCUGAGUACAUGGUUCCCCCCUUCCUCUCUACCUCCCUUUUCCCCAUUCGUACUCCGUGGGCGCCAAAACACCCUCUCCACCCCACCCUCCUCCGUUCGCCGCCGUCCGCCACCCCAUCCACCGACGUCCUCCUCCACCAUGCCGGAGCUGAUACCCCGACGCCACCGUCCAUUACAAGAGAUCGACCUCUCUCAUCCAUGCCUUCGGACCGGGAUCCUUGCAUCCCGUCCUCUCGCUUCAUCCCCGCCGUCGUCCACCUUGCCGGCGCCGCUCCUACGACCGUCUCGUCCACCACGCCACGCCACCACCGUCUACCCUCUUAGAUCUGCUUCCACGCCGCCGACAGCCAUCGCUACCGCAGCACCGUCAAAUUCUCACCAGAUGCGUACACGGUGCCGCACCAGAGGCGGUACUCUUUCGUAUCUGCUCAACUUAUUUAUCACAGCAAGAAAAUAAAUCGCCACUGCUUUACUCUGAUUUCUUGUCUUGGUUGCGAAGUUGCCUUUGUCUGGUUUGCACCUUCAGAUCCGCCAUGGCACGCUCAACACUAUACUCCCAAUGCUUAUGGUUUUCCCCUUUUAUAUUCCACACUAGUUAAAUCACAGUAGACUAAAUUUCAAAAUUGGGUCAGUCGAUUUUUCAUAGCUCGCCGGAGUUCGCCGGUGUGAUCCAAGGGGCUCGGGUGGUUGUGGGGCCUCGCCGAACGAAGAAAACUCGACGCGAGUGGGGGUGGGGGUGGCGGAGGAACACAGGCGGUGGGGGCGAUGGGGGUCGGUGGUCCGGCCGGCGGCCCGUGCGGUGUUCUGUAUGGGAAGAAUCACACACGAGGAAGAAGAAGGGUUAGGAGACGUAGGAUCUUCAUCCGACCGCCUGAAAUGGUCGAGAGACAACUAGGAGUUGCAUUCUUAAUGUGCUCUGGUUCAUCAUAUGUAGGCACUGCGCAACCAACAUUUUAUUAUCCAAAAUCUGCUUGCUCUUCUUUACCAUGUUCGAUAGUGCUGGCAUGUACGCGAUCGAUAGGCUUUCAAUUACUAGCGGCAAUACAACACCGUAUUUUCAAGCCAGUUCCACUUUCCCGAUUUAUAUAUCGUGGUUAUGGUGUACCCCUGUUAUGUACACUAUGAUCUGCCUAGUUGUUGUGUGCUCUUGUUAUCAUGGUUUGGCAAUAAACUAUCUAUACAGUAUAUUAUGAACCUAUCAUCUGCCAGCUAUCCUUACUUCUGGAGCCUAUUUUUUUGUGUACUUGUGCCAGAUUAUAUAAAUGCACGCACGAUAUUAUAGCACACAUGAGCUCUCUCAUCAGAAUCCAGUUAUAGCACAUAAGUGUUUACAGGGGCGCCCCUAUAUUAGAAUAUCAUCUGCAUUACAAAGAUAAUCUCACAACUAUUUAUGUUUUCAUGGUUCUCAGAUAUUAUACGCAAUUCCAGUGAAUAUCAGAAUCCGCGCAUCAGAAGAAUAUUGUGGAACACUGCAAUGACUUACAAAAUUGGCACCCAGGCAUUGAGUGCCAUUCUGGAAGCAAUGAAACUCGUACGCUCCCCACCUGUUGAUUCUUGUUCAGAAUAUCAUCCUAAUGACUAUUCUAACCUCGAGUCAAAGGCAGAUGGCCCGUCCUGUUCACCCAUCAAGGUGUCUGUUCUAAUUUGGCAAGGUUUUAUUGAUUGCGCGUAUCUUGCAUAUGUUGUCUUGCAUUUCUUCUACUUUGUUGCACCAUCAUCUGCUUAGUUUACUCAUCAUAUAACUCGAGAUGCCAUGCCCGUCCAUUAUCAAUACAUAUUACAUCUGUCGUCAUACCAUGUUUUUCCACUCAAAUGUUGUUUUUGUGCAUCAGAUAUCAAAAAGGAAGAGGGUGAUUGCCGAACCUGAAGGAGCACCAGCAAAGUCAUUGAAAAACGUGGUGGUGCCGGAGAAAUCAGACAGCGCCCCACUUAUAUUGGUUGUACAACCAGUGACACAAAACAUAGGAUCGACUCCAGCAGACUGUACCCAUACUUCACUGGCAACGCCACUAGCCCCACCACACAGGACCUGCACUCCAGCAAAAGGUAUACCAAUUUCAUUUGCCAUAGCACCUGCCGUACCACAGAAAAAUCCCACUCCAGCAAAAAGUACAACAAGUCCACCGGCCGAAGACCUAUCCCAACUGCAGAGACGGCCAAUUCCUGCAGAUUGGAACCCCAUUCCAUUUAUUCCCAGUUUAAAAGACAAUGCUUUCAAUGUUGUUAGGGACUACGUGCAUAUAUUCCCAUCAUGGGAAGAUUAUAGUGAAGACAAACACCAUUUUCACAUCUUCCUGUCCAACUUACGUGUAAGUGCCAUUAUUCAUGGUUAUUAUUUUCCUGUUUUCUGCUGAUCGAACACAUCAAUGAUUUACAUUACAUUGUUGUAACUAGGUGAGGGUCAAUCUGGAUAGUCAUGAUGAGCAAAGCUUGCUUGUGCUUUUCAAGGAAGCAUUGCAGCAGUAUCGGUGUUACCUGAGGAAAUCACACUUUGAUGGCAAGUCUAUAAACGAAUUUCCGGUGAAGUUUGUUGUGCUAAAUUUAGAAGACAUUAAAUGGAAAAACCUUGUUAUGCACUGGUCUCGUUCCCAGGAUGAGGUACUGUUUAUGAAAUCACAUAACAAUUUGAACUUCUACUUUUCUGCAUGUGCCUUACAGAUCUUUUUUGCAGGAAAUCAGCUCGAAGAAGAAUUCCGGUUUGAAAAGAACGACAGGAUAUCGCAAAUAUGAUGUCCGCUGCUUUGCUCUUGUUAGUACCUAUUGUCCUGUAUCACUGUACUUGCAUACAUACCUGGUUCAUUAUGUGACAGCAGUAUGCAUGAUAGCUUGCUUAUCAAUUUUUGCUCCAAAUUAUCUGAUCUGUAUGAAUGGUUACAUUAGUGUAGAAUAUAUCCAAUGCCAAUGAAUUUUUUUAGCUCUGCAUUGUUCUUGUAAGUACAUGAUGUCCUUUAUCAAUGUACUUAUAUUGACAGGUAGUUGUUCAUGUACCAUCACUCUGCAGCUUAUUUUUCUUUGCCCUCCAUUUUCUACACCAUAUUAAUGUAGAGUUCUACAUGUAAAAUGCAAAAAAAAACUAUUACAAACAAAAUUGUUUGGUUCCCCUAAAAAAUGUGAGGUUGAAAGGUCGUCACAUAGGAGCAAAAGAUUAUUUUUCUUCAAGUAAUCAUUAUUUGAUCAUAUUAACUAUGCACUUGUGAUCAUCAUUCUUUUUCUUUUCUUUUUUUUGCGGGUGACACUUGUGAUCAUCAUUCAACCUUCAAAAACCAUUAGCUCUAAAGACAGGAACGAAAAUAACAGAAGGCGAAGUAUCCAAUAAAAAAUUCAAAAUUCCUACAUGAGCCAUCAGAUCUAUAAUGGACGCCAGAUAUUAAAGGCGGGAUCCCUAAGCAUCCACGUACUUAAAUGCAAUUAGCGGAUAACUCCCUAACUUAUCCAUCAUCAAGCAGUAAAAAUCCUUUGUGCGUAUCCCUUGGAUCGGUUCACGUUCCAAUCUAUGAGUACGUCGCAAUGGAGAAUCGUGUUCCGGGGGCCAUUAGUCCUUGCCCUCCGUCGGCAGCAACAUGUCCACCGUCGGCAGCGUCGAGCCCUCCUCCGGUGGCGACUCAAGCCAUGUCGUUCCCUUUGCCGGCAACAACGGGCCCUUCCUCAAUGGCGACUUGAGCCAUGCCCUUUCCUCCGUCGGCGGCUUCUGCCGGCUGCUGCUCACCCUCCUCCGGUUGCGUCUCAACCUUCAGAUUACUCAACAUCAGCGCUCGUUCGUGCAAACCACAAGUGCACCAAGGCCAUUGCCUUGAGCACCAUGCAAAAAGUAAAACGUUGCCCUGCAUGCAAGGGAGAGAGAGCAAGUAAUCAUGCGCUGAGAGACGCAUGAGGGAGUCCCGGUGGCUCUGCGUUGCUUCUGCUGCUGGCUCUUCGUUGCUGCUGCUGCAAAAUGAGCUAGUCCUUGGAGCAGCAGCAGGAGCAGCACGUUGAGAAGGGGAGCACCGGCGGCCGGCAGGAGCAGCAUGUGGAGACACCGGGAGCAGCAGGGGAAGGCAAGGAGAAGCAAUGGGAGCAAGAAGGGAAGGUGGUGACGGGGCAGCAGGGGCCUCCGUGGAGCAGCAGAGCGGUGACGGCUGUGUCAGGAGUGAGCAUAGCCAGAGUUCAUCCCGAUUUGGGGAGCAGGCUGCCUGUUUUAGUCAAACAGGUAAAAGGGCAAAAUUGCCCUCUGUUUUGUGCACUCAAGUUGUUUUCCCUUUGCAAAGAUUAUUUGUGUUGUACAAAAGUGGCAAAAGAAAGAAAUGCAAACUAAGGGGUGGCACCUGAUCAAUUACAAUGUUUUUUUUUUUGAGAGUACGCAAUCGCGUACCUUAGCUUUAUAGAAGGCAGAAAUAUGUACAAGAAGUUUUACAAAAAGGAGGCAUAUCCUAGCACACGACAAGACCAUUGCCCGGGACCCCCAACUCCACUCCUGAAACUAAACUCUACUACUCACAGAAGAUGCUGACUCCUCGGCCUCUUGCCAACAUCCAAGUGCGUAAACUCUCGAAAAUCUGCGAGGUGAAGUGUUGCACCGUAUCAAUUGAGGUACGCGGGCCAAACAAGAUCCCAUUCCUCUGCUUCCAAAGCUGCCAGGAGAUCAACAUGAUCAACGAGUCAAAGGCUUUCCUAUGCUCAGCAGGGAUACGAGCGCGACAAGCCAUCCACCAGGCCUCCAGGGUGUCCCUCGACGUAGGGAUCAGUGAGGUAUCCACUCUGGCCUAAAGAAAACACCGGUGCCACACUUGUCGAGCGAACACGCACUGGAUAAGGAUGUGGUCCACCGUAUCUUCAUCUUGAGCACAGAUGAAGCAUGGUGAGCGCUCCUCCUGUAGCCCAUGUCUGAAUCUACGAUCAGCUGUCUAGAGACGAUAAUGUGUGGCUAGCCACAUAAACAGCUUACAAGAGAGAGGCGCCCAACACUUCCAGAUCGCUUUUGCCAGGGCGAAACCGAUACUCCCUUCCCACAACAUCGCAUAGGUGGAUGCCGAGGAGUACACCCCAAGAUUGUUCCACUUCCAAGUAGGAACGUCUGAAAGUGCCGGAUCAAGCUGAAUAUUGAUCAUGAUCUCCCAUAACCGAACAAUCUGCACCAUGCCAUCAGCCGAUAACUCCCCACAAACAUCAUUGGCCCAACGAUGGAGCUGCAAAGCCUCCGAGACCGUCCUCCGGUUGGCCACUUGUGUGUGCACCUGUGCACGGACCAUAGGCGCCAGCUCAGCCACGGUGGAUCCAUUGAGCCACCUAUCUUUCCAGAAUAAAAUGCUCCUUCCAUCUCCAAUGCUCCAUUGCACAAGGCUGGUAAACACCGCUUGAGUCUGUUUAUCCAUCACGAGUGAGAGACCUUGCCAAGGCCUCCCCUGAUCCGUGCGUUUCAACCAUUCCCAGCGCAAUCUAAGAGCCAACCCCUGCCUGUUGAGGUCGAUCACUCCGAGCCCUCCAAGUUGUUUGGGAUGGCAAACUUUCUGCCAAGCCACUAAACAUUUGCCUCCAUGGAUUUGCUCCGAACCAGCCCAAAAGAAAGCCCGACAUGCCUUAUCAACCUGAUUCAGCGCCCACUUGGGAGCAUCAGCGAUCAUGAGAUGAUGCGUAGGCCUAGCACGCACCACAUUGUUUACCAGAAUCAGUCUCCCUGGCCUCGUGACCAGCCCCCUUUGCCAUCCCGGAAGGAGGUUGAGCACUUGGUCGACAAUAGGCUGCCACUCUGCUCUCGUGAGCUGCUUGAUCGAAAGUUGUAGCCCCAGAUAUUUACAUGGGAAGGAAUCCAUGCGCCAAGGUAAAGCUUGUGAAACUCGCAGCGUGUCAGCUUCCUCAGAUCUGAUCAUGAUCGCCGGAGACUUGGCAAAGUUGACAUGUAAACCUGACGCUCUGCCGAAGAUUUGCAAAGCCUCUCUGACAAAGCAAAGGUCGCUGAUUGUGGGCCUGAUAAAAAGGAUUACAUCGUCUGCGUAAAUCGAGAGUCUCUGAAGAGGAGUGCAUCCUGGCAUCGCGCUGAUGGCCAUCAUCUGCUGAGCCUUGAUCAUCAUCGAGGAGAGAGUAUCCAUGGCAAUGACAAACAGAAGAGGGGAGACCGGGUCCCCUUGGCGUAGCCCUUUUGCAUGUCUGAACUUCCUGCUUUGGCAGCCAUUGACAAUCACCCGUGAGCUGGCUGUGGUGAGCAGCGUAGCCAGCCUCGACACCCAAAGCUCAGAGAAGCCUUUGGCUCGUAGCACCUCAAAUAGGAAAGACCAGGAGAUGGAGUCAAAGGCGCGUGAAAUAUCGAGCUUGAUCAUGACACCUUUCGCCUUUCUUUUAUGCAGAUUUCGAGCCAACUGUCUUACCAGGAGGAAGUUGUCGUGAAUAUUCCUCCCACGGAUAUAAGCCGACUGAUUCACUUUCACCAAAUCUCCCAUACGUGGGAAGAGCCUCGAAGCCAUCAACUUAGAGUUAAUCUUGGGUAUGCUAUGAAGUAGGCUGAUUGGCCGAAAAUCUCCAAUUCUGCAAGCAUCAGGUUUCUUGGGGAUGAGAGUGAUAAUGGCCUGAUUAAGCCUGCCAAAACCCCGGCCAUUACCCAACUGAAAUUUGUGAAUCGCAGCCAUGACAUCCUCCUUAAUGAUCUUCCAAGCUCUGCAGAAGAAGAGAUCAAUGAAUCCAUCCGGACCGGGCGCGCGAUCCGAUGGCAUACCUUUGAUAACCGUCCAGAUCUCCUCCUCGGUAAAGAUGUUAUCCAGCUCAUGCAGAUCUAAAGGCUCCACCCCCAAGAAAUCCAGGUUGAGGGUUAGGUCUCUGGAUUGGUACGUGCCCAGCAACUCCUUGUACGCGUUAUAGAACGCCUCCUCCUUGCCCUCUUGCUCUGUGAUGAUCUGAUCGCCAAGGUGCAGCGCCGGGAUGAAAUUCCUUAGUCUCCUGCCAUUAGCCAUAAGAUGGAAUAGUUUGGUGUUGGCAUCCCCUUCACAAAGCCAACGAAUCCGAGAGCGCUGACGGGCAAUCAUGCAUUCAAGCGAUGCCAGCCCCAGGGACGCCAGCUUCAGAUUGUUGCGCAGCCACCGCUCACCAGCAGAAAGAACACGAUGGUCCAUGGCUCUGUCCAACUGCAAGAUCACCCAAUUCGCGAUUGCAAUCUGCAACUUGACAUUCCCAACUUUUUUCUGACCCCAUGCCGUAAGAUGCUGUGCAGUGUUACGCAGCAACACAUCCAGGCGAUGGAAAGGCUCCGUUAUGUCCAGAUCACAGAUCCAGGCCUCCGUGACUGCCUCCUCAAAGCCCUCCAACUUGGUCCAGAAUGCCUCAAAGCGAAAUCUUCUGUGCGGCUGUAGGUGAUCAUCUAAAGCCAAGUGGAGCGGGCAGUGAUCCGAAGUCGCAGUUGACAAAGCCUGAAGCAUGCAAUCGGGAUGCUCAAGCUCCCAGUCCACCGACACGAACGCUCGAUCGAUCUUAGUCAGAGUAGGGACUUCUCUUUCGUUGCUCCAAGUGAACUGUCGGCCGUGGAGGAAGAGCUCCUUCAGACCAUUGUCGUCGAUAAACCUCCUAAAUUUACUCAUCGUCAUCCUAUCCAACAGCGAGUUGUUUUUGUCAGAGGCCUGAAGGAUAAGGUUGAAAUCAGCCCACCGCCGGCAAGUAAGCAAACCCAUCAUACAUUGGGCCACAACAUUGCAAAAUGAGACCAACCCAAGGGCUAACCCUCGUUGGCAUUUAUUUAUAGGAGAAACUCCGCGAGCACCACGCGUCCAAGCCGGGACUUGAACUCGGGUGGGCUGGCAGCAACCUCAGCUGCCCAGCCAACGGGUCGACGCCCCGUCCUCAGUAAACGGCGGCAAACAAUCAAAUCCCCCCAGUAACUACGGGCGAAGAUCAUUGGCCGUUGGCUAUGCUAGAAUAUCUCGGUGCGGUUAUAUCGGGACGUGGAGUUUCUGCACCCGAGCUCAUAUGAGCUCGGGUGAACAGUAAAAUCGAAAAAAAGUCGAAAAUUUUUCCAAAAAUUCCAAAAAAAAUUUGGUAGAAACAUUGACAAAAGUUUCAAGUGCUUGCAAAAAUUCGUCAUGAAAUCACAUUUUUAAAAAGCGUGGCAAAAAAACAAAAUCGGUACUCUGAAAAUGCUACUUUCAAAGCAUUUUGGAGGCUGAAUUUGUUUUUUUUUGCCACGCCUUACAGGAAUGUGAUUUCAUGAUGAAUUUUUGCAAGCACUUGGAAAUUUUGUCAAUGUUUCUCUGAGAAUUUUUUUGGAAUUUUUUGAAUUGUUUUUGAAAUUUUUUUUUCGAUGGAGCAGAAAGGCACUUUCGGUUAUAUCGCACCUACUUCCAUGUGUUUCGGUCCGUGGGACCCAAACAGAGGUAGUAGUUGCUUAUCUGAAACUACAAGUUCAUGUGCCAAUAUUUUAUUAAGCUGAAAUUGUGCAAAACUUUACAAAGAUGUUAGUCAAUUUAUGGGCUUUGUGCCAACAUUUUGUCUGCGCAUGGAAUUAGCAGUUGUGUAUUCAGAUUUUCAUUGUUUUCAUCACCACCGGCCAAUAAUCCUCAAAAAAUACAGGGGAUUUGCACAGAUCCAGCACUAACGGAUUAGCAAAGCUUCAGCAUUUGCAUGUGCAAUUAUUCAGAGAACAGAGGCUGCGCUGAACAUUUCGUCAGAGAAAUUGAGCAUGGGGCAGCACACGUCCGCCGUGUUGCGACGCAGCAGCUUGGUGGCCCUGGUAGCACGGUGCUGCGCAUCACCUAAUUUAGUCUAAUCCUUGGCCACUAACAAACCAGAAACAACUAGCAGAAGCAAACUUACUUCAAAACGCAGGAACACAUCAGAUACAACUAUCAAUCGUCACCGUCUAGUAUAACCCGAUGCAAAAUCCCACGAGAAGAACGGACAAAAAGACAACAGGUUAACAAACAAGCACACAGAAUUGCAUCAUGCUCCGGACACAAAAUCCUGCAGUUUCUAGUGAAAGCAGGCAUGCUUUACACGCUGGAAUGAGGUAGUCUCAGCUACAACAAAAACCACAAUGUCCAGAAGUUAAGAAUUGCAUAGAAGAAGACAUUAUCAAGCACUCAUCCCAUACGAAGGAUAAUGAGAGGAAAAUGAUUGUUGGCAAAAGAGAUUAUCAAGCUCAACACAACAGCCUACUUUCAGCAAGAAAUACAGGCUUAGCCGGCAAAGGCAACAAGGGAGAAAAAAGCGAAACAAAUUCAUAUGCAAUGCAGAUACUCCCUCCGUUCCGAUUUACUCGUCAUGGUUUUAGUUCAAAUUUGAACUAAAACUGGAACGGAGGGAGUAGAUUCAGAAGCACUCGUCCCAUAUGAAGAACAGAAAAGGCAAGCGUAUUCCUAUGCUGUCAUGGAAACAUAACAAUGGCACAAAAAUACACAGAAGUUUCAGGUUAGAUGAGAGGAAAGUGAUUGUUGAAGAAAGCAUAUAAAGGCCUAAACAAGCUGUUCACUUUCCCCCUAUUGGUAUAGUAUGGAAAACUACCAGCAGUACAUAGAAAGUGUUUUAAGCCGAUGCAGGUUUAAAAGCCCAUAUACAAUUGCAACUAAGACGAACAAACAGCAACAAGGCCAUCGCCGGAGAGCAUGGAAAUUGCAAGACAACUCAGGGUAAUCUGCAUACGAAGGAUAAUGAGAGGAAAAUGAUUGUUGGCAAAAGAGACUAUCAAGCUCAACACAACAGCCCACUUUCAGCAAGUAAUAAACAGCAAAACGUACUUAACCGAUACACACUUAGCCAGCAAGUAAUAAACAGCAAAACGUACUUAACCGAUACACACUUAGCCAGCAACAAGGGGAAAAAGGUGAAACAAAUUCGCAUGCAAUGCAGAUAGACUCAGAAGCAUUCAUCACAUACGAAGAACAGAAAAGGCCAGCAUAUUCUUAUGCUGUCAUGGAAACAUACAACAAUGGAGCAAAAAUACACAGAAGUAUCAGAUUAGAUGAGGAAAGUGAUUGUUGAAGAAAGCAUAUAAAGGCUUCAACAAGCUAUUAAAUUUGAAAUGAGAGGAAAAUUGGUAUAGGAUGGAAAACUGUCAGCAAUACAUAAAAAACGUUUUAACAGAUACAGGUUCAAAAGCACUCUCAACCCAUAUACCAUUGCAACAAAGACAAACAAACAGCAACAAGCUUAGCCAUUGCCGCAGAGCAUGGAAAUUGCAAGACAACGCAGGGUAAUCUGAAGGUUUUCAUGAUGCAUUUGGUGAAAGGCUUAAAAAACAGACAUGCAUACACAAUGGCUAAAACAUAUACAGCAGAUCAAUCACAUAUAAUCAAUAUUCAACUACCAGAAUAGUCAUUAAUCCAAAACGGUAGGUGCUAAGCUUAGCACAUCUAAGCAUGAAAUUUAAGAGUACCAAGUUUUCUCAUGGACCAAAACAAGACCACUGUAUCAAGACAAGGCAGUUCAACUCUUUAAUCCACAAAAACAGGUCAUAAAACAGAAAAGACACAUUAUCUAGAUAAAGCAAAGAUGGCCCAUUAUACCCUUCAAGCAGCAGCAGCAUCUGCACUCUUCUCACCCUCACCACCCUGAGUAGUUGCUUUAUUAGCCUCUGCCUCGGCAGCAGCAUCCAUCUCCUGUGCAGUAGCAUCGACAUCAUCUGUAGCCGGACGAAUCUGCUCCUCCUCUGGAAGUGGCUCUUCAACAUAAUCAUUCUCAAAUGCAUCAUUAGGAACCUGAUAAAUCCUCAUCUGUGGCUUGGCAGGAUCUUUCACAAGCACAUACUUUCCCUCUUCAAACUUCAUGCAGAUGUCCACAAUCGACUUGACAAUGCCCCACAUGUUUGCAGUGUUGAGGUUGAUCUGGGUAGCAAAAUCCCUUGGCUUGUAGCCCAUCACAGUGAGUAUGGAGUGGUUGAAGUGGUCGCGGGGGUGCACACGUGACACAUAACCCAACUUCAUCAUGUCAGCACCAGAAAGUAAAGCCUGGGCAGUCCAGCGAGCGAGCUUGUUGGCAUUGUUCUUGAGCUCUGUAGCAAGCACAGCACCACGCUGGGACUCGAGCUUCUGCUUCCAGUCAACACCAGUAAUCUUAGGAUCAAACUCAUUGAGUGCAUUAAGCGUGAGGAACUGGCGAGCACCACUGGGAUCAACACCAGCAGCAUGCACUUCACAGCGGGCAAUGAUGCUAAUAUCAUCAUCCAGCUUCCAGCGGCGAUAACGGUAGCAAACAGGCGCCGCCUCCUCAUUCUCAGAGGCAAACGGGUUAGGCUCAUCAAAGGUAACCUUCUCGCCAUCACGCACCAGCACCUGCUGCGAGAAGUUCUGGUUGAUGUAGGUGGCCUCGACAGCAAGGGCCGGCGCGGAAUUGAUGUCAUCCUUGUUCUCAGGGAGCUGCUCCUGCGCAGUCUCGUUGACAGUGAGCAGAUCGAGCUGGGAGCCCUCGCGCUUGUCGAAGAAGAGCUUGUUGCCGACGCGCUGCACGACAAUGUCCCAGGAGAGGAUGCUGCGGGGCGUGCACAUGAGGGCGGCGAGGAUGGCGUCGGUGGCGAAGACGGUGGCCUUGUCCUCCUCGGCGAGGCGGCGGAUGAUGGGGUCGUCGGUGGUGGUGAUCUUGAAGAACUGGCGGUUCUUGAAGCGCUCGAGGCGGCGGGCCGUCUUGGGGUUGACGCGGUCGUAGGCGCGGUCGUACGAGUCGACGGCGCCGCAGACGAGCAGGUCCUCGGGCUGGUCGGCGACGGCGAAGGAGAGCUUGGUGAAGUUGGCGAAGGGGAUCUGCUCGAGGAUGGUCCAGUCGGGCUGGAUGUCGACGGAGGGCUUGGCGGUGUUCUGCUGGUUGCCGCGGAAGCCCUGGUGGUGGUGGGAGCGGUGGUUCUGGUAGUGGCGCUCGCGGCGGGCGCGCUCCUUCUCGGCCUCGCGGCGCUUGGCCUCGACCUCCUCGUCGCGGCGCUGGGGGAGCUGGGGCCGCUGGUUGAAGCGCCACUUGGGCCCGAAGCGCGGGUGCUUGGGCGGCGGCUUGGCGUCGACGAGGCUGAAGGACGAGUCCUCGGCGGCGGCGGCGAGCGAGUCGUCGGCCGAGGAGAAGUCGAAGACCGAGUCGCGGGAGACGGCGGCCGCGCCGUGGUGGCCGUGCGCGCCCGGGUGGCCCGGGUUGCGCGUCCAGUCGGCGAUGCGGCCCAGCUUGUCGGAGCGGGAGAAGGGCGCGAAGGGGAUCGAGGCCGUCGCGACGGCCCCGCCCAGCAGCGGCGCCGCGCCCGGCAAGUCGGGAGGGCCCCAGCCGUCCGGGUUGAAGGGGACCACGCCCACGUCGAAGCCCAUGCUCGCGGCGGCGGCGGCGAUGCGGAUGGAUCCGGAGGCGGCGGCGCGAGGGUUGAGUGGGUUUGGUUAGGGUUGAGAUGCGGAGGAGGAGGACGGGACGAGGGGGCUUUAGGGUUUGGGUAAGCGAAUAUUUAUUUUCUGAUAUAUACUUGAGAGGCCUCUACCGGGCCGAUGGCCCACUUGUCAUCGUGUCGGCGUCCGAUUCCAGCCCGUUAAACAAGUGGAAUAUUUCUCCACAUGAAAAAAUAUCAUCGAUCGGAUAUCUCUUGACUAAUUUUUUUAUCAGAUCUCUGUUUUUUUUUUUUGUAUACAUGGAAAUGAAAUCAGAUCUCUCAACUUUUGGCUACGUUCUUUUCAAAAACAGAAAACAAAAACAGAUUUUAGGUGAUUGGCAGUGCUUGGAUUUCCUACAAGUCCAGAAAAAACGUCCUCCAGUUAUCUUGUUAUAUAAGUUCGGACCAUGUUUUGAAAUCAUGUCAUGAACACGUUUGGAAUUCAGCGAUUUCAAGCAAAAGCACUAGGGUUCCAAGACACCAUACACCAACAGACCAAACAUGAAUUACACGAUCCCUUCAUGAAAUUCCACGGAAUUCAAACGGUAAACCUUACAGCGGGGGAGUUCAGACAGCAGGCAGCAGCCGGUUCGACGUUCAACACAGUACCAGUAUAAGUUUCAGGCUCAUGCUUUUAUUCUGUCCGACCCGGACGACACUCGGUGCGACAUCAUCAUAAUGUUCUCGAUCCCAUACCGAACUGUUACAGGCAUCAACAGCCAUGGAAUGGCAUAGCGCGGUGGAUAACGGCAUGUCUGCGACACUUCAGUUCAAAAUUCAGCAGGCGUUACACGACGUCCAGAAUACUUAUUACUACUGCAACGAGACGGCAUGGGCGCAGCAAAUGGCAGAGUUCCGUUCAAAAAAGGCCAUGGGAGCUACUCGGUGGCUUCCUUGUUCUCGGCCGCCUUGGCCUCCUCGGUGGACUCCUGGGUCGGGGUCGUCACCUCCGUAGGCGAGUUGGCGCCCUCUGCAAUGGCAAAGAUGGCAAAGCGAUGCUUGUGAUGAUGGCAAGAUAAAUGUACUGGAUUGCUUGCUUGGUAUCUUGUAAAUAUGAAGUACCGUCGCUGUCAGUAGAUGCAUGAAGGAAUCGGCGUGAACGGGCUUGCUGCUGGGUAGGCUGCAGGAACAUCGAGGAAGAUGUAAGCGACCAAAUAAAUUCAGUGUAGCAUGCAAGUUAAUUUCAUAAUUAUUACCACAUUUUUGACAGCAAAAGGAUAGCUCCACAAGCAAAGACUUACUAACAAGAAUGAGGUGACAAAACGUGUAAUUGACACUGAAUCUAGUUUAAAUACUGGGCCAAAAAACUGGAUAUGUCAUCUAUUGGAUUGUUAGAAAGACUCCCAAAUGCGCAAAUGGACCAGCUAGCAGCUGGUGCCAAACGGAGAAAGUAUCAACAGUAGUAGUGUAGUACGUCUGAUAACAGAAUCAGCUCCACAAGCAAAGAAUUACUAACAGGACUAGCGGGCAGGUACCUUGAACUGAGUUCAUUUUAAACACUAUACCAAAAGAUGGAUAUGUAUCUAUUGGGUUAAUAGAAAGACCAGCAAAUACACUAAUGAAAGAGCUAGCGGAUAAUGUCAAACAGAUACAGUAUCAACAGUGGUAUAAUACAAGGUAAGCACAAUCAUGCAAACAAUGAGUGCCAGUUUUAGCACCUGUAAUUUCGGUCGAAGUGCUUCAAGCGGCCCUUUAGGCUUUUGAGGAUGUCCUCCUUGCUGCAGGAAACCAAACGAUCAGGUGAGCAAGAUCGCGUAGGUGUUGCAUUGCUUCCUCAAAAUCCAUAUAACUUCCGAAAAGAACAGUACAAUACCUUUCCCAGAGCCCAAUCAGCAGAAUCAAAGUAAGCUCGCUCAUGGUCCUGAUAACACAUUUUAACACAGGUGAAACUAAUGGAUAUGGGGCUAAAAUUAAUUUAUCUUCCCUGACUGCUUUAUACAUAGAUGACAUAAACAUUUAACAGUAGUAGGUAGUAAUAUAUUGAAGGCAAUGAUACCUUGGAUAUGAGUGGUGACUUUUUGGGCAGUACUCCUCCAUACUUUUUCUUGAUUACUGCUUCCUGCAAAUACUUGGUAAAGUCGGAUUGUGCUUAUGGAUAUAUUUUUGACAGUUUUACAUAGAAAGUAAAUUAGUAAAAUCGUACAGAUGGAAACAUGCAAGCACACAAGGUUAAGCAGUACACUUGUUAACAAAAGAUGAUACCUCUUGCUGUGCUGAUGGCAUCUCAUUUCCUUUAUCCUGGUUGGCAGUUUCCACUUUCACAUCAGAAACAUCUCCUUCAGGCCUCACCUGGCCAGUCGUAUCAUCAGAUGGCUUCUCCGACAUACUGUACGAAUGGAUGCUCAAACAAGCUACAAGAAGAUAGAUUUCUAUCAGAUAAUUUAUCUCAAUGCCAUCAAAAUUAGUAGGCAUAAAACACACCAGGGCAUAGGCAAAUUAGAAAGAAAUCUGAAGCAUAUUCUGGGAAGAUAUUGACAUUUCAACCAUAAUGUAGCAGUACAAAGAACAUGUUUACAUAAACACAUACUGGGAAGUCAAUGUAAUAAGACAUACAAAAUUUACUUUGGAAAAAUGGAGGUAAAUAAAACUGCAUAACCCAUCCUGAUCCUGGGGUAUCUCUGUUUUCGAAAAGGGAACCAGACACCAACUAAUACUGGCCCAGCUCUUCAACAGGUCUUGCAGUAGCGUUUCUAAGUCCUAACGUCAAACCUAACACCGGCAUACCAUCUUGAACCAAGGUUGUUGCUCGGUCAGGUACUGGGAGUGGGACAAGCAAUAACUGCAAAAGUGGACUAUUGUCCUUGACAGGACUGGAUGAAGGCAGUAAGCCUGAACCCAACAAAUGUACAUAAGUAUACCCCAGGACUUCAACAGAAGUACUUGAAGCCAACCAAAAAAAAAAAAGAACAGCACCUACGAUUUAACCUCUCCGUCUACGGCAAAUCAACAUUUCAAGAGUGCUAAAAUUUUUUUCAGAAAAAGAAGAGUGCUAAAUGAUAUAACUGCAAAAGUGGCAACGUUCUGAAUAGGGCCAUUGUCCUUGACAGGACUGGAUGAAGGCAGUCAACCUGCACCCGACAUUUGUACAUAAGUUUUUCGGACUUCAGUAGAAGUGCUUGAAGCCAACAAGUAACAAAGUACAGCACGAUUUAUCCUCGCUAUGCAUGGCAAAUCAACAAUCAGGAAUGCUAAAUGAUACCACGACAAGAUCUGCGAUCACUUGGGUCUGAUGCAUGACCUGCCACACAACCCAGUGCAGGGAACAGAGACACUGCUCACACGAAUGAUGUCCCUCUCUCCGGCCAACCUAUGAGCUACUCCGUCGGACAAGCUCCUCAAGCAUAUAACUCACGAACCAAUCAAGCUCUGGGCCGAAACUCUGGUGCCCCGAAAUUCCGCCCGCCCGUUCCUGGCGAGGCGCUGGAAGGGGAGGCGAGGCACGCGGCCAGAGCUACCGCCGCUCGUCUGAGGCCUACCGGGGGACGGAUCUAGGCGGCGCGCACGAGAUUCGCGGGCGGCGGCGAGGGCCUGGCGAUUCGCUGGAGCUCGUACCUCGGGAUCGGGCGGGGUCGCGGCGAUGCGGGACGCGGACGCGCGUCAGAGGCGGAGGAGGCGACGGAGACGCGUGGGAGGCGGAGGGAGGGAGGGGUCUGGGGAGCGAGGCCGCCGGCGGCGAGGCGGGGCUAGGGCACGGCGGUGGCCGGGCGGCGGUGGUAGGUCGCCAGGGGAGGGGGGAGGGCGACGAGGAGGAAUCGGCGAAGAAAUGCAAGGGACGGUGGAGAGCCGCGGUCUAUGAGUGGUAACUGAAUCUGAUUCCACCUUCUCUUUUUUUUUCUUUUCUUCUUUUUUCUUUUUUCUUUUUUUGCCACGAACGGAAUGGAAAAGGGUAAAAUGUGAAAGGGAGCAUCCUGCCAAAAAAAAUACCUUCAAAAGAACUCUUUCAGAAACUUCCUUUUUUUUUAAUUCGGACGCUUUUUGGGCCCGAUGAAGCGCAAAACGACGAUCGAUUUUUGACCGGGUCGAUUCAAAAGCCAUCGCCGCAUAUUUUCUUGAACACAGUACAUAAGCAAGCGCCCAUAUACACACGCAUACGCUCAUCCCUAUUUGAGGAACGAAACACGGGGGUAGGCUCUCUUUUUUCCGGAAUUUGAAAAUUUCCAAAUUUAAGAUGAUGUAUGUUAUCGAGCCCCAUCAUCCCGGUUGUUUUCACGCCUUAUCGUCGAACUACCGCUCAUAUCAUAGAGCGUAAAACAUGUCGAAUUCAAGGUUCCGGCGAUAUGAUGAGGAACUGGGAUUUCAAGUAGCGUUCACCAUCAAUCAUCGAUCAUCCAUGGUCUAUGAUGGUUUACCAAAGUCGAAGAACUCCCCGCAAAAAAUAAAGUGAUCGAAUAACUCAUCUUCCACUGACAAUAUCUUUAUUUAUAUUAUUACUCUCUCCCUUUUGGUUUGCCAAGGCAUAUGCAUUUUAAUUACUCUCUCCUUUUUGGUUUGCAAAGGCAUGUGCAUUUUUUUACUCAGGUCAAACGCUUUAAAGCCUGACCAAAAUUAUAGAAAAAACGUCAACAUCAACAAUACAGAAUCAAUAUCAUCAAAUACAUCAUGAAAUGUAUUCUCAUAGGAUAUGCAUGUGGUAUAUUUAAUUGUUUAUAAAUGUUAAAUAUUUUUCCCAUAAACUAGGUCAAACCAUGAAACCUUUGAAAAUUUUGGCUUCAGAGAAAAUCGUAUGCCAAAUAGGGAGUACAUUCUUAUAUCAAGGGGCUCCUCACUUUUCCUGCUCCUUUUUGUCCCUCCUUUGAGUUUGAUUGUGCCCGAGUCGACAAAAAUUGUCGUCAAAAUAUAAGAGAUGGGUGUGAAAUUGUUAUGGACCAGAAAAAAAAACUAAAAUCAAAGCCCCAUCCCUACCUGCGCGACUCCAUCGCGCACGAACAAUCUGCUGAGAUCUGUUGAUACCAAAGUUCUGGUGCAAAGACAAACAAGAGGAUCAACAAAGAGGGUCAGGGAUAAAUGAACACGAACACACAACCACUGUGCAAAGCAUACCGUACAUGAAGAUACAUAUAUCAGUAGAUUGCACUCUGGAGUAGCUCCUCCUCCCCUCGACAGUCGAGGCCUACAACAAGGGGUGAACUCUUUGCAACUCAGAACAGCAGGAUCACGUUGACAACUGUGAUGCAGAUCAUGGCCAGGGUCGCGACUAUCGAUCCCGGACGGAAGGCUCUACGCAACCCUCUGUUCCUGGUGAAGUACUGAAAGGCGAGAUACACAGCUAUCGCCAAAGAUAGUAUCCUGCCAGCUUGAGUUCCCCUGUGCACGGGAGGUAGGCAUCGGAGCGAAUGAGCAAGAACUAAUACCCUAACAGAUACAGUAGUGGCAGUAUAGCCAAAAUAGGGAGAAUGUUUCAUACCUCAGACUCAUCACCUGGUAAGGAGCAAUGAUGAUAAGCCACAUUGUUGAGAGCGGAAGCUCCAGCUCACCUGCCAUAGACAUAAAGCAUGCGCCGUAAGUAACAUACCCCGGGUUGUAUGUUUUAUCGAUUAUCCAACUCAAUGUUAGCCUGAUGUUUGAAUCCUCCUUGUCACUCUACCUGGAGUGGGUAAGAACAAGCGCACCAAAAUCGCAAGAAAAGCUGUCCAGAGUCCAUAUUCUCUCCUAACAUGAGGAUUUGAUACCAUAGUAUAAGCAGGGCAAGAGAGAGUAUUCUUAUGUGAAACAAAGGGGAAAUGUAUCAGAUAACUCCUUGCACCAAAUAGCAGCGUCUUACUUGAUCCAUGGGAUUACACUGCUAGGUGCUUGCUGUGCAAACCAUGGCAUGAGCCAGGAUUUGUGUAUGCCUGUCUCUUUAGAAACCAACAGCACACUGCAAAAGGCAAAAAAGUAACAAAUAAACUGCUACGCUUUGUUGAUACCAAACUUUUGAUGCCAAGAUGAGCAAGAGAUCGACAAAAGGGGGGAGAAACUGGCCAUCAGGAAGAACUGAAAACUAACACUGUAUCACACAAAGACAGAACUACUUCCCAAACCACACCGUACACGGUGAUAUAUACUAUCAGUCAUGUCACAACUCAGAGGUCAUUCUUAUUACGAUAAAACAAGCUACAAAGUCUGACAGGAUGAUGCGCUACAAGGUUUCUUUUUAUUUAUCUGCACUCUGAAGUAGCUCUUGGCAACUCAGAACAGCAGGAUCACAUUGAUAACUGCGAUACAGAUGAUGGCCAUGGUCGCAACUAUCGAUCCCUGAUCGAAGGCUUUUCCUAUUCCUCCGGUCCUGGUGAAGUGCUGAAAGGCGAGGUACGCGGCUAGUACCAACGACACUAUCGCGCCACCUUGAGUUCCCCU
Molecule: long non-coding RNA, 81378 nt
Filed under: Triticum aestivum (bread wheat)
Lineage: Eukaryota; Viridiplantae; Streptophyta; Magnoliopsida; Poales; Poaceae
Description: long non-coding RNA (TAES_LNC010923)
Source: RNAcentral